This 87462-nucleotide long non-coding RNA is filed under the name Citrus maxima (pomelo). RNAcentral describes it as "long non-coding RNA (CMAX_LNC001815)". The record is from RNAcentral. Lineage: Eukaryota; Viridiplantae; Streptophyta; Magnoliopsida; Sapindales; Rutaceae.
UGUUGAUUUCUUUGCUUAUGGUUGCCUGAAUUUUGUUCUUAUCAUGAGGGACCACCUCAGUUUAGCUUGGUUGGGGUCUUCAAAAUUGCUUAUGAUUGCCAAGGACAACAGCAAUUGUUUCUCUGAAUGGGAGGCUUUGUAUCAUUCGUAACAACAUGAGCAUAAGUAUGGUUGCUGCACUACUGUGUGGUGGGGGAGAAAAGAAGGAGACAUGAAAAACGUUGGUACAUUGCUGAGGAAUUUGUUCCAUGCGUGUGUGGUGUUGUUGCUUGCAAGUGUGAAUGGCUUUUAUACUUUGCACAAAACGAAUCUGUUUUAUGCAAAGCUUUGUGCUGAGCUUUGUGUGAAUAUUGGUGAUGUUUGAGAUGAUGCCUGUGGAGACCAUAUCAUGCUGAUAUGUAGCAAUUUUUGUGGAGGGGCUGUCAUUGUUAUAGUGGUCCUAUAUCAACAUGUGACAACCUUAAUAUAUUUUGAGAGACAUUUUUUGUAUUUUGUAGGCUAAUAGGAUGGCUCAUAGACCAUACAUUUUUCUUUUGAUCUUUCCAUUUUACCCUUACCCUUUUAGUUUUCUAUUCACAUUUUAUAAGGGCAUAUUAAACAUGGGGGCUAUUGUACAUGACUACAUGUGCUAAACUCUAAUUGCAUCACCCGAAUUUUACCACCAACAAUAAUAAUAAUAGUUAUUAUUAUUACUAUUAUUAUUAGUAUAAUUAAUUAUAAUUACAAAUUAUAUAGUAAUAAUUAUUAUUAUUUAAUUUUGUACUAAGGACAAUAUUGAAAUUUUAUAAAUUAGGAGAAGGAAAAAGAGUGAGUUCAUCAAAUGGAAAUUCCACUCCUACCUUCCCAAUGAGAAUGAGAUUCUCAUUCCUCAUCUCAAAUUUGAUGGGCUUCAUUGAUUCCCUCCUCAUUUCCACAUGUAAAAUAAGCAAGUAAACAAUGAAAUUAUUUCCAUUCCUCCAUUCCAAUUCUCUAAUUUGAGAAAUAAACACACCCUUAAUUGAUAACUCACAUGCAAAGCACCCAUUGUGGGAGUCACGUAUGUGUGUAUGCUUGGCCAAUUCUACAUUUUUUUUUGGGAUUAUCGACUUAGUUUAAGAUUCGAAUUAGGAUUGAAAAAAAUCAAAUUCUUUUGUGGCUUGAUUUGCUUGGUUAUAAUUAGGGUAGCUAAUCCAAAUUAAAUAGGUCUCAUAAACACAGAUAGUGCUCUCGGUUUUCCUCUUCAACUUCUUCAUCAUUUUUAUUUUUUUCUUUUAUUGUUAUAGACAGUUACACUUAAGAGUCAAACCUCACAAAUUGCAACAGAGUUAUUAUAUCCUAAAGGUCAAUUCACAUUGUUCUUUCUCUUUCUUGUAUUGAAAAUUGUUUCUAAAGAAGCAAAAUUAGUCAUUAAGAUAGUGCUUCUUCAUGCCUUGACAUUGUUGUAUUGACGGAUUCACCGUUGUCACUGGUUUGCUGCUGUAGCUAGGGGUGGGCAUGGGUUGGUUUGGGUUGGGUUGGGUUUUUUGUCAACCCAAACCAAACCAUAAAAAUUUGAACCCAACUCAAACCAAUCCAAAUAUUUUUAACCCAACCCAAACCAACCCAUUUGGGUUUGGUUUGAAUUUUGUAAUAAAAUUAUUUUUUAUUUUGAUAAAUUUAAUUAUAUCAAAAUUACAAUAAUUAUUAAUAAUUAUUAAAUUAAUAUUAAAAAAUGAAAAAAUAUAGUCAAAAAAUUAUAAAUAAUAGAUUUCACAAUAACUUCGUCCUUAAAUAUUAACCAUAUUACAAUACAAAUUCUAAUAAUGAUAAUACAAAUCAAAACAAGAUAAGACAUCCAAAUCAAGUAUCAAAACAAUCCAUCAUAAUUAUUCCAUCUGCAGCACUUUAAUCAAAAGAUCUCAUGAUCAACUGAGUCUGCUCCUUCACCAACAAAUAAAUAACAAAAAAAGAAAAUUAUAAUGUUGAAUAGUUAUAAAGAUGAGUAAAUUUAAAAAGGAACAUGAUUCAUACCAAAAUCGUAAGAAUAACAUCAAUCUAAAGUCAUUGCCUCCGUUGUUGCACUUGAUCUAAACUCUACAUUAAAUAAAAAUAAAUUAAUAAAAAAAGACUAAUGAUAAACAAAUAUAUAAUUUUUUUCGCUUGUUAUGAUAAAUAGUAGUUACCUGAUAUCAUGGCUUCAUAAAACUCAAACUCCUCCAUUGUUGGUUCAUCUUGUAAUUGGACAAAAGUGUUACGUAACCAAUUUUGUGAGCAUAUCAAAGCUUCCACCAUCUUUGGACUUAAAGAACUACGAAAUGAAUCAAUGAUGCGUCCUCCAGUACUAAAUGCAUAUUCUGAAGCUACUGUAGAUAUUGGAAUUGCAAACACAUCCUUUGCAAUAUGUGAAAGAACUCGAUAUUUUAUUGAGUUCAUUUUCCACCAUGCCAAAAUCUCAAAGUCGUCGUCAUCAACAUGUUCACAUGGCUCCAACAAGUACCUCUCUACUUCAUUUUUCAUCUCAACACAAUCAUCUUUUCCUAUUCUUUGUUUGAACUUUGCAACACUUGAAAGUUUAGAAAACCCCACAUUUUUUAUCAAAUUUCCUACUAUCAACAAUUGACGACUUAAUAGCACCACUAGAUGAUCCACAGCCACCAAUCCUAGUGUCAAGAUCUUUAUAGUAUUCAUAAAGACGUAUUAAACGAUUUUUCACCUCUUCAGACUUCUUCCCAACCUCAUCAAUAACAAAAAUGUCUUCAAAGCAAAAUCUCACAUAUUUUAACUUAUAACGUGGAUCAAGAAUAACCGAAAUAAGCAACAAAUUAUUUAACCUAUCAAUUGAACCCCAAUAUUUGUCAUACUUAUUUUUCAUACCUGUUGCCAUUUUAGAUAAAACAACAUCAUCACCACUUUCAAUUAAUGAUGUCAAAUCGGAAUGAAUUGAGCACAUUUCAUGAAAAUAUAAGUUUGAAGUCACGUACAUUGAUCCACUAAAUUUCAAAGUUAUAUCAUAAAAUGACUUCAAAAACAACACAAAAACAUUAGCAUUUUCCCAAUCAUCACUAUUAGGGGGUCCUCCAUCUUCUUUGAAAUAUAAAACAUAACGUCGAUCAUCAUCCUCCAUUCUCUCAAAAGCCUUUUGAAACUUUAAAGCACUCUCCAACAUUAAGUAAGUGGAAUUCCACCUAGUAGACACAUCUUGAACUACAAGACCAGCACCUUCAAUUCUUUCAUGCUCCACACAUAUUUUAAAUUUUUUUAGCCUUGCAGGAGAUGACUUUACAUAUUUGACAGCAUUACGAAUUCUAGAAAUUGACACAUGUAAGUCUUUCAACCCUUCAUUCACAAUUAAAUUCAAAAUAUGCGCACAACAUCUCAUAUGUAAAAAGUCACCAUCUAGCACAAGCCCAUUCUCACUCUAAUUCUUCAAUUUCUUUUUGACAUAAUUGAUAGCUAACUCAUUUGAAUUAGCAUUAUCAACAGUAAUGGUAAAUACCCUUUCUACACCCCACUCAAGUAAACAAGACUCAAUUACCUUUCCAAUUGUCUCCCCCUUAUGGUCAGGUACUGUGCAAAAAUUUAAAAUUCUUUUCUGCAAUUUCCACUCACUAUCAAUGAAAUGGGUUGUUAUCACCAUAUAGUAAUAAUUUUGUAUAGACGUCCAUGCAUCUGCGGUUAUACAAACCCUUUGCUUAUUUGAAACAAAAAAGUUCCUCAAUUUUUGCUUUUCAUCCCAAAAAAGUUUGUAUACAUCUCUAGCAAGGGUUCUCCUAGACGGUAGAUCAAAGUUUGGUUCCAAUUGUUUACUAUAUUGUUGAAAGCCCUCUUUCUCCACAAAACUAAAGGGUAAUUCAUCAAUAAUAAUUAACCUUGUAAGGGCUUUUCUACAUGCUUCUUUAUCAAAGACAUGAGACUUAGAUUUGUCUUUCAUUUCAUGUGAAGUUGUUUGAUUUUCAUCCUCAAAUGUGUUCAAAUAAUCAGGACAACGCAAUAAAUGAUUCCUUAAUGUACUAGUCCCCAUUUUAGUCCCAUGUUUAUUCUUACAAGCAUAGUCAUUACUACAAUAAUUACACUUGCAUCUAUUAUCUGGAUCGUAUUUAGUGAAAUAUUCCCAUAUUUCCGAUCUCUCUGAUGGCUUUUUCCUCUUGCUCUGAGUAGUUGCCAAAGUGUCCGAAGAAUAAGUACCAUGACAACUUGAGUUCUCAUCCAUCUAAAAUUAAUUGAAAAAAAAAUCAUGUAACUUUAAGCCAAUUCAACAAAAAAAUUUACCAAAUAUAAGGAAUAACAACAACAAUGGCAGUAAUUAUAACUGGAAAAAAAAAAUCAUGAGUUAUGGUAGUGUUAUUUAUACAUAAACAUAAAAGAGGCAUUCCAUACAAAAUUACAAAUCCCGAAUAUGUGAAAAAGCUGGAAAGCCAAGCAUCACUAAUUAUUAUUAAAGAAGUUUGCAGUACAAUGGUCCAAAAGUAAGAAUACAAUUAAUUAAGCAAGCAAACUCUGAUACAGUUCAGGCUUGAGGGCAUCAUUGUUGUGCUCUUCUGUCGUGCCUUCCUGGGGGUUACUUUUCUGCUGCUUGUAUAAUUAAUUAAGCAAGCAAACUCUGCAGUUGGUUUAUUAUGUAGUUAAUUUAUGCACCAGCAGCUGUAAGUGAUCUUUUCUUUGGCAUUCAUCAUUUUUAUCACUCUAUUCCUUAGACUGUUGUUGUUGUAUUGUUCACGGUAAGAGCUUAGCAAAAUUACAAAUCCCGAAUAUGUGAAAAAGCUGGAAAGCCAAGCAUCACUAAUUAUUAUUAAAGAAGUUUGCAGUACAAUGGUCCAAAAGUAAGAAUACAAUUAAUUAAGCAAGCAAACUCUGAUACAGUUCAGGCUUGAGGGCAUCAUUGUUGUGCUCUUCUGUCGUGCCUUCCUGGGGGUUACUUUUCUGCUGCUUGUAUAAUUAAUUAAGCAAGCAAACUCUGCAGUUGGUUUAUUAUGUAGUUAAUUUAUGCACCAGCAGCUGUAAGUGAUCUUUUCUUUGGCAUUCAUCAUUUUUAUCACUCUAUUCCUUAGACUGUUGUUGUUGUAUUGUUCACGGUAAGAGCUUAGCAAAAUUAAUCAUUGUGUUACAUCAAAUGCAAAUUUAAGCAGUACCGUGUUGUCUUAUGAAUCAGAACAAACAAACAACAAUACAUUCAAUUGCUUCCAUAUGCAUUCCGUAAUGAGUAUGAGGUCCGCUCUUAAGAAUUUUCAUUUAUUUGUAUGCUCAAUAUUUGUUAGCUAACAUGAUGAUACAUGAAAAUACUACCCAAAGUGAGCCAUUAUAAUUUCAACAAUAUUUAUUAUGAUGAAUCCUAAAUUUCUGCACUCUGUCUUUAGUACAAUGGUUGUAAGGAUACAAUCACAAGCUAAGUUAACAAAAAUAAUGGCAUAAAAAACAGCACUGAAAGCCCAGAUGAUAAUAUUUUCUAGAAUUUUUUUUUCACAAUUCUUUAAAUUGUACAUGUGGUAGCAAUGAUCUAUGAAAGAAUUAGUUCAUAAGAGCUCAAUCAAAUUCAUAUAUCAGCAAAUUAUUUUCGGCAUAUUCAAGUGUGAGUGGUUUCAUCAAUUCCCCAUUCUCUAAUUCCAAGCAUACCCAUUACCAAAUAACUGGAAAAAAAAAAAAUGAAGCUUUUGCAAAAAAAAACCUCACCUUAGAUCAAUAGAAAGGCUGUAAUCGAAGUGGGGUCUUCAAGAGUUGAUGAAAAUCGACUGAGAGAUUCGUGACAGCACUUUUGUUGACAGAGAUUGUGGAAGAUAGAGUGAGAGAUUAUGGAAGAUAGAGUAUCAGUGAGAGUCAACAGUUCUAAUGAACUGGGGAGUGAUGAAUGCGAGACUAUGGAAGUGAAAAUAAUGGAAUUAAUUUAAUUUAAUUUAUUUUAUUUAUUUUAUUUAUUUUCCACUCACAGCUCACCUUGAAUUUAUCUAGCCCAUGGGUAAACCAUACCCAAACCAUUAUAAAAUGGUUUUCCCUAUAAAAACCCAAACCAAUCCAUUUUAAUGAUUUAUCCAACCCAAACUAUUUUAUUUGGUUUGAGUUUGGGUAAACCUAUGGGUUGUGGGUUUAUGCCCACCCCUAGCUGUAGCCAUGUUUUUUGCUUUGAAGUUAUAGUUCUUGUUGUUAUUUGGGUUUAUCUUAUGGUUUUGCUCAAUUUUUUCAAUGAAAAUCAUCCAAUUAAUGGUAUAUUGAUACAUGAAUUUGUAAAAAAAAAAAGAAAAGACAUGCAUGAGUUUGUAUUCCUAAUAUUAUUUCUUUUCAAAUAUACAAUAGAGCAUAAAUCGCCCACAUAUGUCAGGAAACAAGUGUCAAGACAACUUGUGUCAUUUUUAACCCAAUUUAAUUUUAAAUUAAAGGAAAAUUAUCACUUGUAUACUUUUAAUUUGCUCGGUUAUCAAACAUAUUACAAUACUUUUACAGUGUGUCAAAAGUCCGUCCUAAGUUGACAAAAUAUAUUUGUCAUCUAUUAAAUCGUUAGUUGUCAUUUAAAUGUAAUGACAUUAGAGGAUAAUAUGGUAUUUUCAUAUGAAAAUAAGGGAUACAAUGGAUAAUUUAAGGGCAUGCAAAUGAUAAUAUGACAAGUCAAAGGUAAACAAGUGAUAAUUUCUCUUUACCUUAAUUUGAGUUAUAAGGGCAAAAUCCUCAAUUUGCUAUAAUUCUGUUAAUUUUCAAACAGCAGCUUACAGUUUAGUGGAUGGCAGACACGUUUUGUCGACUUAGUGUAAGCAACUGAUAUAUAUUAAAAGUGUCAUACUACGUUUGAUAAAAGUGUAUCUUAAGAGUAUACGGGUAAUAAUUUUCCUAAAUUAAACUCCAAUUAAAUUCGAUCAAUAAUCAAAUCUAAUCCAAUUAUUUUAUAAAACUUGCACAUCACUUAUUAUUAUUAAGUUAGGCACAUUAAGAUUUAAUAAUUUAAUAAAUUAUUUACGAUUACAAAAACUACUUAGCACCUGGCCACUCACCGAUUAUCAAUUACAAAAACUACUUAGCACUUAGCCACUCACCGAGUAUGAACACAACAAAAAAUGGAAAGAAGGAAAACGGCGCGGACGACCAAAGGUGAACACAAUUGUUAUUUGUUAAAGUAAAAAGAUUUUUUUUAAUAUAAUAUUACAGAAUACAACCGAAGCUCAACACAUAAUAUAAAUGAGUACGAACUUUGUGAAUAAUUUUUUUAAUAGGGCUCGGUGCUUGAGUUGGUGACUUGUAGAAGUUAAAAUGUCAAUAAAAUUAUAGGCUUUAAUUAUUUUUGAAAAGUUAAAUAUGAUAGUGAUAUGUGGUAUUUUUUUCUCUUUCUUUUGUUAAAUUAAUGGAUGGAAUAAAAAGUUUAUAUAAAUUCACCAUCUAAUUUAUUAAUUUUUAAAUAAAAAUCAUUAAAAUUGAAUUGUUCUUUUGUUUGAUAUUGAAUUUUGUCAAAGUAUAUUAGAUAGACUUAGUUAGCAUUUGUUUUCUUACAUAAAAUUUGAAUUAGUCUGAAUUUUUUCAAAGCAUGAAUGAAUCUAAAUACAAAUCUCUAAAUGACAAAUUUGUUUUUUUAAUAUCUUAUUAUAAGUGGUAUUUUAUUUUUUUUUAUAAAUAAAAAAUUUGUACCCUUCUAAAUCCAAUCAGAAAAAACGAAUUAAGUUUUGUAGUUUGGCAAAUAAAUAUUUUAAAAGAGAUAUUUUUCAGGAUAUAAUAUUUACUUUAGAUUUAGUCAUUUUCUCAUUCAGAUAAAAAUUACAAAAAUUCACUUUUUUUAUUUAAAUAUAUAUGACCGAAAAUCAUACUUAAGUUGUAAAAAAAAAUUAAAUUUUAAAAAAGUUAAAAAUUAAUAAAAUUUUAAACUUCAAACGCCUAACAAGGAAGCUCUUAGACUACUUUUUUCUUAAAUUUAUUUUAGUAAAAGUUUCUUAUACAUGCAUACUUAUAUAUGAUAUCGGACCCAACUACCACGGUACCCUCUAUUUUGUCUUUCUUUGCUGUCACCUUAUUAGGUCUAAUCAUGAAAGAGUAGGAUAUGUUGAUUUCGUUAUUAGCACUGCAAUCUUGUUGAAUAUUGAAAUUCUAAAAAAAAAAAUUGGCACAUAAAUCCAGAUUGUUUCAACUAAUUUAUAAACACCCAACAAAUCCAAUUCCCAAAAUCCUAAACCCUAACCUAUAAGCACCCUCACUCGUGCAGCCACAUUUCUUGGGCCAUGUUUGGCAAUGGCGACCUGGCUUCAAAGUUCACACGGCCACAAUUGGCUAUGGCCCGCCCUAAAUGCUUCUGUUGCCUUCACACUACUUGCUUCAAACUUUUUGUAUGGCCAUAGUUGUUAGUUUUAGACCUGGAAUUCUCUGAAAUUACAACCGUAGUUGGAAGUUUUUGAAAUUGAUUCGAUAAAAUUUGAAUCUUGAACAUCCAUGUCCGAUGAAAAUUGAAGCCAUUUUUUUUUGGGUUAUUUGCUGAGAUUGGCUUUGACCAUCUUUAUGUGUAUGUAUGCUACCUCACUUUGGCGUGUGACACCUUCCAACACGCCACCACCCAAGUUAUAGGUUUGAUUUGUCGAAGAUGAAUGGGAAAAUUAAAUUGUAAUCCAUACAUACAUGCAUACAUACAUACCAUGUAAUAAUUGUACUGUAAUUUUGUCUUAAAUUCACACAAAGUUGAGAAUGCUAGGUUAGUUAUGAUGUUUCAAAAUAAAAUAAAAACACAUAAAAAAGGUGAUACAGAACAACUCCUCCUAAAUACAAGUACUAUUUCAUUCGGCGAGUUAAUUUUCAGGAUUUCAAAAUUACAACAAGUCAUUUAGCCAUUAGGUUGCUAAGAUUGUAUACAUUGAUUAUAUAAUUAACUAGUUAAUUAGAUAGGCAUCGGCUAAUUUAUAAAUACUUUGAUUUAUCAAUAUUUUGAGGCUAUUCAAUAAUAAAUAAAUUAGAUACUAUUCAAUAAUAAAUAAAUUAGAUAUUUUGAGAACUAAUAAGGUUAAUUUAAAUUAUUUAUAAGUUUAAUUUCUUCCAAUAUUUCAGCAUUAUAUAUUGAUAUAAUUAAAUAAGUUAUCUCCAUAACGAAAGAACUAAGCAAGUGCAAAAGUAAGAUAAAACCCUAAGUGCGAAGGCCGACAGGAAAUAGAAAAAAUAAAGUUUUAAAAAAUAAAAAUUUCGUAUGUAUUGAUUUCAUGCAUGUAAUGUGUGUUUCAGGGACACAAAAUAGUGGUGUUUUUUUUCAAGAAGAUAUGGUAAGUCAUAAGCCUUGUACCUUAGAAAAUGAUAAUUCGUCGCGAAUGACUCAACCAAUAAUUUGGUGGCAAAAUAGAGACGAUUGGUUGAGUCUGAAUUUGGGCCGUUUGUUCACAUGGUUUCAGAAUAAAAUCAAGAAAAACUACACGCUUGUGGAUUGCAUUUUAAUUAGGGAACUACAUACCAUUUUAGAAGAAAAUCAAAAUACUAAAUCUUUUCCAUUUAAAUAAGUUUACAAUACGGUUCAUACAAAAUAUGCUAGCCAUAAUAGUAAUAAUAAUAAUAAUAAUAAUAAUAAUAAUAAACUUUUGUCGAUAUUAAUAUAAAAGAUGAGAGAAUGGGUAUAUUUGAAACCACAAAUAAAAUACUACUCUAGACCCACUUUUUUAAUUAAUUUUUAUAUUAUUAAGAUACCCAUAAUCUAAUUUAAUUAUGAUUAAGGACGACAUAAUCAUAUAUAUACGAGUGAAUUGAAACUAAACUCGAGAAAUGGACUAACUUUAUUAACUCUGAUUUUUCUAAGCAACGAAACAAAACAUUGAUCUGCACAUGGGUGGGAAAGGAAAGUGGAAGGAAAGGAAGGGAGGAGAAAUUAUGAUUUUCCAUCUCUUCCUUUUGGAUAAAUAGAUUGGAAACGUGCAUGUAAGGCUUUAUUUUCUCUGACAAUAAUUUUGAAAGCAACCUUGGCUGCUUCGAGAAGCAAUUGCGUGGAAAACCACUAAGCAAUUUUUGUUUUCCAUCAACGUAAUUUUAUUGAUUGGUUUUUUUUUUCUCCCCAAUAAGUGAAUGUUUGAUAAAUUAACAAUCUUGAUUAAAUAAUAUAAUUUUUUUGUCCUGAUUAGAGUCAAUAUACUAAAUUAAUAAUCAAGUUAAAUGCAUAAAAUAAUAAUUUUGUUUUUCAAAUUCUUUAGGGCUCAAUGAAAAUGUAAAUUAAUAAAUAAUCAGAUAAAAAAAUAUUGAAAAUGAAUAACAUAUAAAAUUUAUAAUAUUAAGAUUUUUUUCUUCUUAAUUACAAAUCGAAUUUUCUCACUUCAAUUCUUUUUCAUUAUUUGAAUAUAAUGAUUUGAAACUAAAAAUAAAACUGAUGAUGGAUGAAUGUAUUUAUAGAAUUUAUGUUUUAGGUAUUUUAAGAAACCGAAACACUUUAAGGUAUUAAAUUAAAAAAAUGGGAAAUUAUCAUUGCACCACUUUUAUUUUACCUUAUGUUCAUCCAACCACUAUAAAAUUUUAACAUGUACUUUGCACCACUUUUUUUUUUACAUUUGUAUCAACUAGCCACUUUUGCAUUAAAUAAUUCUAAUUUUGGGAUUUAUUUUUUAUUAAAUUUAGGGAUAUUUUUAUGAUUAUACUUUUUAAUUUUAAAAAUUUUUAUGAGAUAAAAUAGUAUUUUAAUUUAUUUGGGGGUAAAAUUAUCAUUUUAUUAAAAUUAUUUAAUAGUGUUAAUGCAAAAUAGGCUAGUUGAUACAAAUGUGAAAAGAAAUGUGGUACAAAGUACAUGUUAAAAUUUUGUAAUGGUUGGAUAAACAUAAGGCAAAAUAAAGGUGGUGUAAUGAUAAUUUCCCUUAAAAAAUACAUACAUUAAUUUUAUGUUUACGUACAAUAUAUUUACAUUAACUUUGGGCUUCUACAUACAUGUUCAUAUCAUAUGUGUUACAUACAUGAUGACUUUUGAACUUCGAAUUUUUUUAAUUAAUAAAUAUACAUUUACCCAUAAAUUAAAAAAAUAUUGAUUUAUUAAUUAAUAAGUAAUCUUAUAUAUAUAUAUUUAUUUUUAAAAAAAAAAUCUUGCUAGCUAUCCCAUCAAUACCUCAAAUCAUCAUUCAGCCAUAUUCGAUACCCAAUAUCUUAAAAUUAGAUGCCCAAUAUCUUAGUUUUAUACACUUUUGAUGUUGUAGUUUUACACUUACUCCCAUAAAAAAAUUACUACAAUUUGGUGCUUAAUUUUCAUACUAGAUGUCCAUAUCUGCUCGGUUGUCUACUUGUAAAUACUAUAUGGAAUGCAAAGUUUCUGCAAUGGCCUUGUUCAUUAAUUUGUCAAAAAUAAUGCACGAGUGCAUUAAAUAGUCAUUUCUAAAAAGAAAACAGAGUUUGUAAAGUAAAAAAAAAAUAAAAAAACAGAUUUCUUAGGAUUAAUAAUAGAUAGAGAAAUAAUAAAAUAGUUUAUAGUAGUAAAAUUAUAGUGCGAAAAUUGCAAAUACAAAAUGUGUUUCAAUUUGUUGCAUGUACGCAGAGCUAAGUUCAGGACCAUGGUAAAAGAAAAGAGGAGGGAGGGGGGGGGGGGGAAGAACUUAAAUUUGAUAAUCAAUGAGGGAAUCCAUAGAAAAAUUAAAUCAGUUUUAUUUCCUUUUCUUUUUCUCUGUACAUGAAAAGGAAUGGACCAGACCUACUACACCUAUUUGAUUCAAUAUGGCAUGGAAUCUAUAUCAUCUACAUCUGGUUCUGACCUAAUUUAAAAAGCAUAAAGCAAAAAUAAAAUGUAAAAAUUGACAACUAAAUUCCUAUCGUUUAAAAUGGAGACCGAGAACCUGAUUGUCAGUAAAUUUAUUUAUUUGAAUGAAGAUAUUCGUAUCAUAAAAUAUUGUAUGAUAAUGUACAUCGAGUUUAACGUAUAUAUAAUGCCCUUAUCUCAUUUUAAAUAGAAGACUACAUAUUCUAAUGAAAGAGGAUGUGGAUGAUCAUACAUUGAUGAAACAAUAAGAAUUUAACUCUCUACUAUCUACAUUUAAAAAUGAUUAUCUCUUAAUUAAACUUUUUAAAAUACAACAUCCUGUAAAUAUAUUAUUAUCAAAUAAAUGAGUAAAAAAAAAUCCUUAUAGCCUCUAUAUAAUUAGGGUAAAAACUCAUUUAGUCCAUGCAUUUUAAGAUUAGUGUCCAUUUAGGCCCUAUAUUUUUAAAAAUGUCUCGAAAUAUCAUUGAUGUUAAAGUAUUGAUACCCCUACCGUUACUUUUUAUUUCUUUUGACUUACUUUUACAAUAUUACCUUUUUAUAAUGAUUUUUUGGACAUUGAUAAAAAGAAAAUAAUUAAAUUACCAAUUUAACCCUAGAAAAUUAAAAAUAAAUUAUAUUAGUUUUUUUGCAAGCACUAUUUGCACACUUGGUAGUUUGCAUAUAAUUUUUUACAAUUAAAAAUUAAUCUAUUUUUUUAGGGUUAAAUUGGUAAUUUAAUUAUUUUCUUUUUAUUAAUAUCUAAACAAAAAAAUUAUUAUAAAAGGGUAAUAUUGUAAAAGUAAGAUCAAAUAAAUAAAAAGUAACGGUAGAUGUAUCAAUAUUUUAACGGCAAGAAUGUUUCCAGGUAUUUUAAAAAAUAUAAUGACUAAGUGAAUACUAAUAUUAAAAUAUAGAGACUAAAUGAACUUUUACCCUAUAUAAUUAUUAUCAAGCGUGGAUGUUAAGUUACGAAUUUGAUCUAUACACAAUUAUAUACCAUGUUUACAUAACGUUAGCAUCAUGCUUACAAGUCUAAAACUAUUUUGCACUUUUACUCAGCCUGAUUUAAAAUGAUGCUAAACGAAAAUAGAUAGAUAUAGAUAGAUAUCAUAUCAAGGCAUCGAGUCUCUGUCGAAGAGAAAAUAGAGAAGGGGGAAGUUGACAUGAGAGGAGGAUAGCAAGCCAAACCAAAGAAAGCCUCCACCGCACCAAUCCCCUCCAUUAUCAAAAUUAAAGAUUCCCUCGAGAGGCGUGUGCUCCUCUUAUGCCUAGGUGGGCCCCGGAACCCCCACAUGCUGGUUGGUCCCACAUUCAUUUUGAUGAAAUGACCCAAUCACCACCGCACUGGCUGCCUCUCCCUCCACCUUUAAAUAGCAGCUCGCUGCAGGUCUUGAACAUAUCAUCACAGCAAAGCAAAGCAAGUUUCGUACAAUAAAGAGCCCUCUAUUUCCAGUUUUAAGUUCCAAGUUCUAAGCUCAAUCAACAUGUCGGACACCUGCGGCAACUGCGACUGCGCUGACAGGAGCCAGUGUGUGUAAGUAUAACGGAAUCAAUCAAGUGAUACUGUGGUUGUGUUCAUAUCCUUGCAUGGUUGUGGAGCUCAUAUUUUUCGGAGCCUGGGGCAACCUUUUACUGCUAAGCUCAUGAACUAUAUAUUUUAUGCACUUGCAGGAAGAAGGGAAGCAGCUAUGCUGCUGACUUUGUCGAGACUGACAUGAGGUACUUACUUUAAGAACUCUCAAAGGCACAACAAGAAACUAAACAAAUCAAACUCGACAUAACUUGAGGGCUAAGUUAUAUAACUUAAGAUUGAAGUCAAUAGAUAUACCCUGUGAUUUCUGUGGGGGUUCUAUUUUUGGCCUUGGUUGAUGGUAAUUUUUUUUUUUCCUCUCUGUUGGUAUGCAGCUUUGUCAGCACCGUUGUUGUCAUGGACGUUCAGGCUGCUGAGACUGAAGGUGACUGCAAGUGCGGCACCACCUGCGCUUGUGUGAACUGCACUUGUGGUAGUCACUAAUAAGCAAACACAUGCAGCAACAAAUAAGAAGCUGCAAGUGUGCCUAAAUAUUGUGGGGGUUAAGAAUAAUGUAAGGGUGAUUAAAAAGAAAAAGAAAAAUUCUCUGCUUCGUUUUUAUGAUGGUCUACUACUAGUGUGUGGAGUGAUGUGCGUGUUGUGUCACCCAUCACUCGUAAUGUUUUGUGUUUCCUUCUUCAUAAUCAUGUAAUAUAUGGCCAUGGCCAUGACCGUGGCCUUGUGUGGUUUAAGUUUAAUGUAUUAUUGUUAGUCUACAGCCAACUCUCCCUAUCUUUCUCAUCCCCUAUUUUUCUUCCAGUCUCGAAGGUGGGAGGAGAAAUUUAUUAACAUGCUGUAGUAUGCACAUAAGGAUUCAUACCCUUAAACAUCAACAUAUAUAGUACCAAAUUUGUAGCUCACCGAUGUAAUUCACAAGAAUACUAUAAGGAGUGGUUUCGACAUAAGCAGCAAGAGCAAAAUUCAGUAAUAAGAAAAGGGGAAAGAUAUGUAUAAACCAGUUUUUUUUUUUUUUUUCCUUUUUCCCUCUUCUACUAAUUAUUCGAGAUUAUGCAGUUACACAAAUCAAGACCGUAACCCAGCAAAAAUAAAACUUUGAUUAUCCAUGAGAAGGAGAAGUUUCAAUAUACUACUAUAUUUCAUUUUUCUGGAAAGGGCUCGUAGCUGAUUAUAUCUUCUGGACAAGGGCACCCUAGCUCAACUUGGCUGUAACUAUCUGUUUGAUCAAUUUGAUUUAACAAAUUCUUUCUUGGGUUGCUUCAAGAAAAACAUGCAGUGCAUUAUCUCUUGAUAAGCUUGUUUUACUUUACCAAUAAAAAAGAUUAAUUUUUCACAACUAGAUUUAAAAAAUAAUAAUUAAAAAAAAAUCAGUAAUGCUUUGACCUUUAUAUCCAACCUCAACUUAACUUGAUAAACACGUCUAAUGUUUACGGUGACCAUCUCAUUUCUCAUCAAUUUGGAUGAAACAUAAAGAACAAGGAAUAUGUAAACCAAUUUUAGCCAUUAUCACUUAAAAAAAUUCUGAUAACAAAAUCACAUCAAAAAGUACAAGUAUAGCAAUCAAAAGCCAAGGAAAUAUGUUCUUCCUUGCUUUAUUCCUCUUUAAGUUUAAAAUCACCUGUGGUAUGCUAAUUUGAAAUUUAAUGUCAGUAUGCCCAAGUGGGUUGCAAUCAUGAACUCAACUAUCUCCAACAAUCUCAAACAUUAAAGCCCUCGGCACGGAGGCACUUACGAUGAGCCUCAAUCCAUUUUGCACAUGCCUCUUCACCGUGUUCCACUAUACAUUCAUCUCUCAGCUUCUUAGUCUCGGGGCAGGCACAGCAGAUCUUCUUCUUUGGUUUUGACUCCGUACCAGAUUUUGUGACUUCCAAGCCUUGGUUCGGCUGUGAUCCCGGCAAAGCCAAGGUAGAGGAAGCAUCUUGCAGAGGCAGUCCACCCAUCGUCACAAAUCUUUCAAGAAUUCAAGAUGCCGAAAUGAAUGGUGCUAAAGGGCAAAAAGGAAAAAAGGACAUCAAAUUCAAAGCAGAAAUAAACUUGAGAUGCUGAUGGAUGAUAUAAGUCUAGUAUUCAACCAAAUGAAUUUCAAAAUGAAUGCAAAACCAAAAUUCAGAGAAAUAACUACAGGUUUGCGAUGUAAGGCAUCGAUGUUUAGCAUCCAGUACAUUGUAGUUUUAGUUUGUAUUCAUUUUUCGGAUAGCAAGCACAUAAUUAUAAAGGACCAAAACAACAUUACAUGUUCAAAAGACUGAAAAUGAACUUGUGAAACGUAAUGACAUAUGCUGCAUCACUGCCACAUAUAUCAAUCCUUUCAUCAUAAUUUUUCUGUCCUUCUUUUCCAAGUCGUAUACAGACCUAAUUCUUCUGCUAUUGAUAUCUCAAAAUCUUUUAUUUGCCAAUAUUAUAAUCCAUAAAAGAACGGGAACAAAUAACCUAUGCUGAGAACGCAAACUUCAUCAAGUAAAAUGAUCUAAUAAAUCAACUUCGAUAAGGAAAAAUAAAAAAUAUCUAGUAAACUAAAGAAUCAGUAAUCUAUUCAAUAGUCAAAAUCACAACAAAAUGUGCCCCUAUUCCAACGGUUCAAUGUUGCAAUGCUUAAGAAUUCAAAGCAACAUCUUAACAAAUGUAUUUGCAGCUGAACAAACAAAACUGAAGACUCAUAAGAGGCUCAAAAUUUUCCUGGAUACCAUUUGCUCAUAACUCAUCGACGCAAGAAGAAAAAUUAAUAAUGCAAAGCUAGAUAUUAAGAAAAGACUCCAACAAGGGCUUGAAUCUUUUCCAGACACCAUUUGCUCUUAUAAUUCAACUAAUUUGUUAGCGAAGCAGCCAGCCUGAGCAACCUGACAGCACCAACUUAACCUUAAUCAAACUACUCACGCAUCAAAAAAACAUCAUGCCUAAACCAACUAAUACUAAAUUUAAAAACCAACAUACACAGAAGAAACAGUUAAAAUUUUACUUUAAAAAAUAAUUUUUUUGGGCAGUGACUCUUUAAAGAUUUUAAUCAAACAGUUGGUGAGCCAUAGUAAAUUUUCCAAAUAAUCAAUACCAAAUCGAAAAUACAAAAAUACUCGCACACAAACUCACAAAUACAAAAAAUAAUCAAACACAAAACCACAUACCAAUAAGCCUUAACACGGGUAUAGAAUAUAAAGUAACCAUAUUUAAACAUGGGCAGCGUUUACUUCACAUUAUCAGAAACAAAUUUAUAAUCUUUUUAGAGAAAAUUUAACUGAAAAAAAUCGAAAUAUGUAAAAACAAGGCAAUUGAAAGAGUCUCACAGUUGAAUUUCUCCAGAAGCAGCCGUGGCUGAAGAAAGGCUUACGUUUGAGACUGGAAAACCAAAGGAAGAGAAGAAAAAAUAACAAAGUUAGUGGCGCGCCGGGUCGGGUAUUUAAAGUUUUAUUUCGGCCUUCUUGGCCUGGCCCAUGUAGACCAAUUGAACAACAAUGCCUUUUUAAUAUUUUAAUUAGGCAAAUGCUGACAAAGUUAAGUUCAAAGUAAAACAAUAGGUACCUCUUAAAAUAUUUGAAAAUUAACAUUUGCAUUACCUUUUUUUUUUAAUUUUUAUAAUCUAUAUUGGAUAAUCCAAUUUGGAUUUACUUCUAUCUUUGUCCAAAUUCCAAUUUUAAUUAUUAAAAAAAAGAAUAAUAAGAAAAUUGAAACUUUACGUGAGAUUAAUAGUGUUAUUUGGAUAUUUGAGCAUUUUCCAAUAAGCUUUCUGGGUAAAAAAAAAAAAAAAAAAAACUGUGAAUAAAAUAGGAGAUUUUUAAUGGGGUAAUGCUCCUCAAGUAUUAUCCUCAUGGCAGUUGCUAAGUUAUAUAUAUUAUAUGUAAUAUACAACAACCGAAAAGAAUGGUAACAUGUGAAAAGUUAUGAAUUUUAAAUUUGUUGUGAGUUACAUCAUACCAAGAUCCCUUCCCUGCUCAUAGAUCAUAACGUUUUUGGCAAACCACAGCACUAGAAGCUCAAAUCAAAUGUUCAAAGGUACAAAUGCUGCUGGGGACCUUUUUGGAAAGCUGAGACGUCAUGGGGGUAAAAAGAGCGAGCCAACACUCUUUGGGUUACAUGCCAGUUGGCACAAUAAUGUCCAUGAAUGAUAAAAACUGAACAACGAAUCCCUCCCUCUGCUUUGGAGAAAAAGAGUGCAAUUACAUACAUAUUCAUCCGUGCAAUGUGAAACUGCUAAGAGUAGAGACAUGACUAACACAAAAGCAAGCAAAUUUAUAAAAGAUAGUCAGCAAAAAAAAAAAAAAAAAAAAAAAGCAGCAGCAGCAUGUAAAUUUACAGGAAGUUUCAUGAAAUCAAAAAGGCCUAAAGCAGCAGCACCUUUACAUCAUGUGCGGAACAACAACAUAAAACACAUAUGCCCCGAAUCCAGAUCCACUUUUUCUUACACUUCAAGCACGUUCUAGAUGCAGAACACCCGGAUUCCAGCCUGCAAAUUGCCUCGAAUAAAACACAAAACUUACUUCUAAUCUAAGACUGUUUCCACAAUCUACAACAGAAUGCAAGAUAACCCAGAGUUAAAAGACCAAUUUCGAUCAAUCUUCAACCGGCAAAGUUUGCAAUUCACUUCAACUAAUCGUACUUCUCCCUCCAUGAAUACACAAGCAAGAACACCCAAGAAAGAGCCAGUACAAUAUCUCCAACAACCUGCCUGAGACAAUCAUGGGCAAGAUCAUCAAGAUUUAUCUCAAUGUAGACCCUCCAAACGGCUACUGAAAUGUGAAGCAGGACGCACCCCUUGGCGAAGAAGCUUUGAAACUUUUGAUCCUUAACAAAUGCAACCAUAAACAAAAGGCACCCAAUGGCAAACAACAGCAGCCCCGAAAACGACUCGGAGAUUUGGAUCAAGAGCUGAUCGUGAGGUGUCGAACCUUGAAGCUUGGUUGCAACCUCAAUGCCAUGGCCAAAGACAUAAAUCUCCUUGGUGUAAAACAUCAUCAAAGCUCCACACGUUAGAGCUAUAAUUGAGUGUAGAAUGCAUAUCAAAAAGAACCCAGCUGAGCCCAUCGAACAAAUCAAAAUUUGAGAGCUUUUAAACUCAAAUCACCAACAUGACUUCACAGGAGUCUUCAAAACCAUAACUUUUUCAAGGCCAGAUGAUACCCAGAACCCAGAUGGAACAAAGCAAGAAAAAUCCCCAAAUUGAAACCCUAAGUCAAAUGAACCCGCCAGAUGAACCAAAUCGACCAAUCAGAUGCCGCCGACAACUCACAGAACCCUUUUUAAGUUUUAACCCUCUAACAGAGAAAGAGAUCCAAGAAAGUACUAAAGCUGAGACAUGGAAAGGAGAUGAAACUGAAAUGGGUAUUUAAGCACGAAGGUUUUGCAACUUGCAUUAAUUCUAAGGGUUAUGAUACAACGAAAUUAAUGCCAAAAAAAUAAUUCUUGAUGGAGAUUUGAAUUUGGGCUUUUUGGGGUGACAUAUUUAUUUGCUUCAAUUGGAAUAAAAAUUAGAUUACUCACAUCCAUACCUCUCCCAUGCACAAAAUGCCAUCGCUUUUCUGGUUGCUUGCUUGUUCGUUCUGCAAAGCAAUUCGGCAUUUGUGGGGUCUUGAGGGGCCUACGUUACUAAUCUUUAAACAAGUUUUAAUGAUGAUAAUCUUCCGGGAUAAUUUUGUUUUUCCGGAUUUGGAAUCUUGUAUGGAAAUUUUUAAUUAAUAUAGAGAAUUUUUUGUGAUUUACUUAAUCAAAUUUUAAACCCAUAUUUGUCAUGUUAUUUAUUCAUUUUGAUCUUAUGUUUAUGAGAUAGGAUGCUAUUAAUAACACUAUUGUGAGUGGUAAAUUUGAUAAGUGAUAUUAAUAAUUUCUCAUAGAUAUAGUAGUAAUAACGGAUUUGGAAUAAUUGCUUAGCUGAACUUUUUUUAACCUUUUAAAAUGAUAUAAUUAGUAAUUUUUAGAUAAAAAUAUAAAUUUAAUUAAAUCUUAACAGUAUCUUUUUAUAUGCAUUCAUGUAUGGUUAUGAAAAAAUUAAACACAAAUUAGCUUAGCACUAUAUUUUAAAUAAAAUACUUAUAACAAUAUAUCCAAAAAGCAAAUCAACAAAGAUCUCUUGUGUCUUUAGUCUUCAUAAUUACAAAAAUUUUCACAAUGCUUUUGACUUUCGGAAUGCUCUAAUUGGAAUCUUCUUAUGAUAUCCUACUAAUUUUUUUAAAAAAAAAUUACAAAACAAAAAGUAUCAAAUUUCAAAUGAUUCCAAAGUUAUCCCCGACAAUGUAAAUGACCAAGUGAUAACCAAUGAUCUAUUAAUAAAAUCAAGUGGUAAGUAUUGCCUUUUGAGAAAAUUGAACUCUGGGCCUCAGACCCAAAUCAAGCUCAACGGUAUAUUGGCCCAUGAGAUAUAUAUGAAUAAUGGGCUGUGGUGUUGACAUUUGAUCGAGUCUAAUAGUCUAGACUCUAGAGUGAAACUUUUAACCCCCUCUAGUAUGCUUGUAACACCACUUUUAAAUUCCAUUUCUUAAAAUACCCACGGGAAAUAAUACAAAUUAAUAUAUCAAAAUUAACCAUCUUCUUAUAAAAAUUUACCCAAAAAUAUGUUUCUUUUUAAAUUGCAUACAAAUUCUAAAAUAUUAAAUUUGUAUUAAUUUUUUUGUAUAAUUUCUAUCUUCAUAACUUUAAAACUCUUAAAAUUUUCAGAAAAAAUAUAUUCUUCAAUUAAAAUUGAUUAUAAAUAUAAAUUAUGAAAAUAAGGUGUGUUUAAGAAGUUUAUGAAAAACUAAUUUAUCUAUUUUUUUAAUUAAAUUUCUAUUUAAAAUAAGAAGCAAAUUAAUUAUGUUAGCUUAUUUAAGUCAUUUUAGUUAAUUAGAGAAAUUUUGAAAAGUGUCAAAAAGCUUACUCAUAGUCUUAUUUGAUAGUGUUCUACCACGGUUUUUAAGCUAUAACUACAGUAGGAUAAAAAUUAGGAUGGGCCUAUUUAAACUCAUCAAUUUCUUCUCUACACUUUUUUUUUUAAUUGAGAAUUUUAUUAUCUAAACAAUUUUUGAAAAAAAUUGCUUAUUAACUAUUUCUUCUCUUUCUCUUUUUAAUUUCAAAAAAUCUUAUUAAUUCAUUUGAAUAUAUUCUUUUAUAAUUAGUAUUACUAACUCAAAGAAGCAAAACCUAUCAUUUAAAAAUGACCAUCAACAUAUUUUUAUCUGCCAUGAAAGUUAAUGAAUAUCAAGAAAUCAAUUUUUACCAAACAAAAAAAACUGAAGAAUAUCAAGAAAAAAAAUCUUAUAUAUAGAAAAUAUGAAAUAGAGAUCAUGAUAUACUAAAAAAAGGCCAAAACAAAAAUUUAAAAUAGAAUGAAUUGAGUGUUUAGUUUGUAGAAUGUGAAAGUAGAGAGAUCAUAUGCAAUUUUAAUGGAGAGAGAGAAAGAAAUUAUUGAAAGGUAAUUUUGAUUUUUAAAUUUUUAAUUGUUAGUAGUGAAAUUAUUUUUAAAAAUGGGUGUAAAGAAAAAUUUAGUGGAUUCAAAUAUUUUUAUUCUAAAAACAAUACUUGCGAAGGAAAAACUCGUGAAUAUACGGUAAAUAAUAAUAUUUUUGCUAAUUUACAAUAAGGAAGAUGGAAUUAUUAAUGAGCCACAUUUUAAAGGGAUGUUGCUUCACCGUAUUAAUCCACCAAUGUGGAUUGAACAAAGUUUUUAACAUUUUCAAUCUUGGCUUUCUGAUGGACUAGAAACAACGAUUACGGGUUCAAUAGUUAAUAGAGGGUGAUUCGAAAAUGCGUUUUUUUCAUGCUUGAGCCUCUACAAGGAAAAUACAAAAUGCUAUUAGGGGUUUGAAAGAUAAUGAGGGGAGCUGGGUUGCCUAUUUAAGGGGGGAUGGAAGAUAUUAUUUGUACCUAUUACUUUAACUUGUUAUUCUUCCUUAUGUCCUAGUCACACUUAAAUGGCAGCGGCUGUUUAGCAUCUUAGCCCGCUCAUGUAUGAUGCUAUGAAUGAUUAAUUAAAUAAGCUUUUCACUAGCGAGGAGAUUCAAUGUGUAGUAAUGCAAAUGCACCCGUCAAAAGUGCCUGGGAUGGAUGGUUUAUCUCUUACUUUUUUUUCAAAAUCAUUGGAAUUUGUCGGGUAAGCAAGUAAUUGUUACUUGUCUUUUAUUUUAAAUAAUAGAGCGGAUAUGUCUGAUUUAAACCAUACUGUUGUUAUUCUUAUUCCGAAGAUUAAAAAUCCAAAGGUGUUGUCUGAUUAUAGGCCUAUUAGCCUAUGUGAUGUUAUAUAUAGAAUUAUAUGUUAAAUUGCUUCCAAAUCGAUUGAAAGUGUUUUUACAUGAUGACAUGUCUUGUUCUCAAAGUGCAUUUAUUCCUAAUAGGCUUGUUACUGAUAAAGUCUUCUUGGGGUAUGAGCGUUUGCAUGAAUUGAGAGCCUAUGAAUUGAGGAAAGGUGGGAUUGUUACUUUAAAUAUGGAUAUUAGUAAAAAGAGGGUUUUUCUCGAGCAAGUUAUGCUUAGAUUGGGUUUUUCAUUGAGGUGUGUUCAAUUACUUUUAGUAUGUACCGCUAGUUCCACAUUUUCUUCUAUGUUUAAUUAAGAGGUUCGUUGCAUGGUGCAUCCUUAAAUGAGCUUGCGACAAGAAUAUCCCUUUUCACCUGACUUGUUUAUCUUAUGUUCAGAGGCGUUUUCUUCACUAAUUCAUGCAAUAGGGACUGUAAAUCUUUUUCAAGGAGUAUGUUUUAUAAAAGAGCUAAUGGUGUCACAUCUAUUUUUUGUGGAUGACAGUCUUAUUUUUUGUUGGGCUACCACUAGUGAUUGCUGCCGCUUAAAGAUUUUUUUAUGUUUAUUCUGCUGCAUCUAGACAGUGUUUAAAUUUUGCAAAGUCAUUUAUGUUAUUUAGUCCAAAUGUAUGUGUUGUUGUUCGUAGAAAGGUGAUUGAGAUUUUUUUUCGUUUACUAUUGUGCCUGAAAGGAAUUUAGAUCUAUUGCAAAUAAACGUAGGUAAUGAAAAAUCUAGAAUUAACAACUUAAUUAAUUUUCAAAUAUAUUGUUCACUGUUACUAUUUAGGGUUACUAUUUACAGUUACGGUUCACGAUUACUGUUCAUCUGCAUAAAAAAUAUUAAUUUUUCAAAAACACAAUAAAUUGCAAAAAAUAAAUGAUACAGAGAUUUUUACGUGGUUCAGAUUAAUCAAUCCUACGUCCAUGAGUCUACCCAGAUGAAAAGAAAUUCACUAAGUUGGGAUGUUAUAACCUAUGGAUUUACCAAACUUAGGACUCUCACUUACAGUUUAUCACCAUACAAUUUACUUAACUUUAGACUGAAUCUGCUUCUCUUGAAUAAUUACUACCCCUCUUGAUCCACGAUCCUCAAGGUACUUCGCAAAGUGAUCAAUAACAAUUCUUCAAUGUCUAGUGAUCCAAGAUCCACAUAAACUCUCUACAGAGAUGAAAAAAAGAUAAGAAAAUAAAUUAACACAACAUUAUGCGUCAAAUCCGGAUUCUCUAGCGAGGAGACCGAAUUAUGCUUCUCUACUUUAUGCUAUGUGUUGCGUGCCUUCAAUUGUGAAAAGCAUCUCUUUAUAUAGGCAUUAGAGUUUCACAAAAAAAUAACAAGUCUUAAAAGGCUUGAAUUCUUUUCAAAUAAGAGUUUUUUUUGUCUUAUAAUUCCUAUGAAUCUCAAUAGGAAUAAAUUUGAUUUUCUUACCUUGCUUGUCUCCCAAUAAAUAUUUAGAGCAUUUAAUGAACUUCCUGUUUGAAAUAACUUCUUGCUUUAAAUAAAUCUCAUGCGCCAAUUAUAGAAUCACAUCAUUAAUUGACUUGCUAAAUUAGACAUCUAAUUAAAUUAGGAAACAAAUAUUCCUAAUAAAUUGGAAUCUCACUAAAUUAGGAAAUUAAUAAAUUUAUCCCUAUUACAAGAUAUGCAAUAAAUAAAACUUCAAUUUAACUUGACUUUCCAUAAGAUGCCAACUCUAUAAAUAAUGGACUUAACAGUGCCCAUUUAUGAGAGAUAGUUAAGGCUGCCAGCAAUGGUAGGACAUAAGAAGGAGUAUUUUCAUGAGCUUCAACAUCGUGUGAUUAAGAAGUCGAAUGGGUGGUCUACACAAUGUUUCUCCAAAUGGGUAAAGAGGUGUUAAUUAAAACGAUAGUCUAAGUAGUUCUUGCCCAUGCAAUUGGGGUUUUCCGGUUACCCAUGGGGUUUUAUGAUGAGUUAUAAAGGAAAUUUAUAGUCUUCUGAUGGUGAAUAAUAAGCUAACAUUAGAAGAUUCGUUGGUUGGGAUGAGAGCAUGAGAUCAUAUGAGUCGUUCUAAAAAAUUAGGUGGCCUUGGUUUUAGAGAUUUGGAUUGUUUAACAAGUGGUGUUGGCUAAGCAAAGGUGGAGGGUAUGAUGAUUCUUUGGUGGCACGUAUACUAAAGGCUCGUUAUUUUCGUAAAUGUUCUUUUCUAGAGGCAAACUUGGUUAGUAACCCAUCGUACUUUUAACAUAGUAUGAUUUAGAGUAGGGAGUUAUUGAUGAAGGGACUUCGAUAGAGUGUGGAAUAUGGAAUGAGUGUUGGAAUAUAUAGUAAUAAUUAGCUGCCACAUCUAACUACUUUCAGGCCUAUCUUGCCGCCAACUUUAUUUAUCGAUUCUGUAGUUGAAGAUUUGAUUUUAGAUGGAAAUUGCUGGAAUGUCUCUAUGCUAUGACAACACUUUUUUGACAUAGAUGUUCAAUAGAUUUUGAAGAUUAAACUAUUGUUCCAACCUUAUGAAGAUAGAGUUUUGUGAUAUUAUGAUAGACUAUUAGAGUAUUCUAUGAAGUCAGGUUAUAAUUUGGUUGUGCAGAUACGUGAUUCAAUGUAUGGUGUGUUUUCAAGGGAAGAUUCAUGUGAAUGGUAGGCUGUUUGGAAGUUAAAUGUUCUUCCCAAGGUACAAAUUUUUCUUUGGCGAGCCCUAUUAAAUAUUUUGCCUAAAAUGGACAAAUUAAAGUCGAAGAUAGUUGUAUAACAUUCUUUUUGCCAUAUGUGUAAUUAUUUGGAGGAAUCAGUGAUGCAUAUUUUGGUGGGUUGUGGUUAGGCCUAAGGCAUGUGGAAACUCAUUAAGUUUUUGGAGUUAAUUGUGCAGGAAAAUAAUUAUGAUAUGUGGGGCCUGUUUAAGUAUGCUAACAUAUGCUUACAACUGCUAAAUUGCAUCUAUUUGUGCUAACUUUGUGGGGUAUUUGGGAAGCUCGUAAUAGAUGCUUAUAUGAGAACAUUAAAAUGGUACCAUCACAUGUGGUUGCAUGAACUGAAGGCAUGUUCCAAUCUUUUCCUUAUGUUCAACCUAUUGGUGGAAGCUGUGACCAAUCCAAUGGUUUUUUUCCCUAUUUAGAAAGGGGAAGUACCUCCAGUAGGUUGGUAUAAAUUAAAUAUGGAUGUAGCUAUGGAUAUAAGGAAUGGUAGGGUGGAUUAUUGUGCUGUCAUACGUGAUAGUAAUGGUCAUGUUAUGGCCGUGGGCGUUGAUCAGUGUGUUUUUUCAGAUAAUGUAGAUAUUGCAGAGAUUGAACCUCUUCACUUUGGCAUAUGACUCGCUAAUGAGAUUAGUUUGUCUACGUUGGUGGUGGAGGCGGAUUUAUUGCAGACUACUCAGUUUGUUUAUGGUAUAUGUCAUACACAUACAAAGUUAUACUAGAUUAUUUUAGAGAUACAAAUACUAUUUUCAGCUAGGUAGGAUUUCAAACUUCAAUAUAUUCAUAGAUGUUGUAAUCAUGUUGCUGACGAAUUAACUAAAUUCACUCUUCACUAUUCUGGUUUUCUUGUUUGGUUGGAGGAUUAUCCAAACUUUUGAGAAUGUUAUUUGUAAGUUGAUCUUUGAAAUAAAAUACCCGUUUAUUAUUAAAAAAAAUUGGCUUUCUAUCAACUUUUUAGCAAAUAAAUUUUGUUUGAAUUAGAUUUAUUUUCUUUUAUAAUUUUCUAAAGACCUUUAAUUAAUUAAUGUCCUCUUCAUUUCAUUUUCAAUUCAUUUAAGUUAUGGAACGAAACAUAUCUUGUUCCAAUUGUUUCUUUUUAGCAAAAGCAUUUAAUUAUCUCUUCUACUAUGCUUCUACUGUGCUUCAUAAUUUUGAAUUGAUUUAUUGUACUCAAGCUCUUUGAACUGAACAAUUGUCAUAUUAUCUAAGAGGUUAUAAUUUAAUGCUAAAAAUUUUGUGUCAAAUUUUGCUUUAAAAAAAUAGGACUGAAAGGCCGAGUGGCCAAAACAUUGCCCUCACGACUGUGAGGGCAGUGGUGCGAGCUCCCGUGAUGCAUGUAGAGGCUUAUUUCCUUUCUUAAUUAUGGUAUAUAAUUGAGUGAAGGCAAUCUUCUCCCUUUCAAAAUGUGAUUGGAGUAGACAUCCCUCAAAUAUUAGAGAGGGUAAAAUAUGGGUAGUGCUCUAUAAGAAUUAAUGUAAAGUUUCAGUAAUUUUCUGAUUGUAAAUAUCAGUUGUAAUAUCAUAUAAUAUGAGUUAUAAUCUGAACAUUAGUCUCAUGUAAUUAAAAAAGAAAAGACUCUCGAAUGUACCUCUUAAUUCAUUGUUGUCAUGAGAUAAAAUCAUUGGCGUAUAUUGGGGAUCCAAUGUUUAUGUGCUUAGUUUCUCCUCUUUAUAAUUAUGUGCAUACGGGGUCAAGCACUUUAAUUCUAAUUUCAUAAAUUAUUUUUAAAAACAAAACAAAAUGAACAUCUAAACCCAUUUACUUUGGAAUUACUAAUAAUAUUAAAUAAUAUUAUAUAUAUCAACCCUUAGAGUUAUAAGUGAUAAAAUUCAAUUGUAGUUCACUGUCUUCACUAGUAUAUGCUACUACUGAUAUGCCGGUUGAACAGACUAUCAAAUUUGCUACUACAUGUUUGGAUACUUUUCAACUGAUUUCACGACAAAUUUAUAUAUUUAACAAGUAUAAAAAAAUAAAUGAAGUAAGGGGAAGGGGGGGGGGGGGGGGGGGGGGAAGGCCUAAGAGCAUUAGCAAAAACCCUUGAACGAUUCGUUUGGGUCUAAUUUUUAACAGCUAGGCUACCAAAACACAACUGUUAGGGUGUUUGGUAAAAUCUACUGGAUUGUGGCUCUACGGUUGUACCGGUGGUUUUUUUUCUUUUUUAUUUCAUAAUUUUUGUGAUAAUUGUUAAAUAUAAAAAUUAAUAUAAAAUUUAUUAUUUACCAUAAUUAAUAAGCUUUUCUUUGAAAAUUUUAGUUUUUAUCCCACACAACAUAUAUAGAUAAGAAAGCACAACACCUCACUAUCAAACAAGCUUGAAGUUGGUCCGCCAACCCAACUUAACAUUAGUUGGGUUCAUUUAGCUAUGGUGUAAAAUUUAAAUUCCCAUUGGAUGUUCUAGUUUCACUUUUGAACUGCUAAUUAUUUAUGGAUAACUUGUCCAAUGACAAUAUUUUAUCCAAAAUUUAUGAUAUAAGCAAUCACAAUAAUGUUGUUACACAUUUGGUUUCUUAGGACUGUAUUAUAUAAAGAAAAAGUAAUGUUAAGAAUUGCACCACUAAACUAAUAUGAUAUUUACCUAUUAAAUGGUAGAAUAUUAAUUUUAUUAGUAUAAAAUUCAUCAUACAGUAAAUUAAUGACACAUAACAGUUGAGACUCAAUUGUUGGGUUGAGAUCCUAAUAUUAUUACAAAAUAUAUAUAACUACAAUAAAACUAUCUAUAGUUAUAAUAUUGGGAUCAAACUAGUUUUAUUGUUAGAAAGAGAUUAUAAUUUAAUAGAGGUAUAGUUACAAAAAUUAUUAUUUUGACUUAGUUAUCCUAAUGCAAUUAUGCAAGUGGUAUAAAAGUAAAUUAAGCAAAAUAUUAAUAAUUUAUUAAUAAUACAUAUCAAAUCUUAUGUAUAUACAUUAAUAAAAGAGAUAGACAUAAUCUUAAAAAAUUUGUGUGUGUGUCUAGAUUGUUAACAUAUAUGUUUCCAUAAUGUUGAUUUUGAUGAUAACAAACAAGAUUAAGAAUGAUUAAUCUUUUAAGCUCAAAUUAUUUUUUAUACUUUUUAAAUAAAUCAUUAUUUUCUCAUUAUAAAGGUUUCAUAUUUAAUGGAAAAAUGAUUUUAUGAAAUUAGUUGCUAUUCAAGUUUAUGGUUUAAUUGAAAGAAUUUUGAAAACUUUGAAAUCAACAAGUAUUGCUUGAAAUUUUGGAAAAGGACUUUUUGAAAAGUUUCAUAUCAUUUUGGGUCAUAUCAUAAUUUUAGAAAUUUUUGGGAAUAGCAAGUAUUAUUUAGAGAUUCUGAAAUUAGAUUUAUUUGCCAAAUUUAUAACGUUUUGGGCCCUAGUACAGUUAUGGAAAGUUUUGAGGCUAAAUUAUAAUUUUAAAAAAUAAUUCACUGUAGCAGUCACUGUAGUAAGCGGCUAACCGGAUGUGAAAAACCGGUAAGCCGGAUGUUGGGCAGAAUCUAUCCGAAUUAAAAGCGGCUAACCGGAUCCUGACAAACGGUAAUCCGGUUGUUGGGCAGUAAGUUCUAGAGCAUAAACGGCUAUCCGGAUUUCAUAAGCAGCAUACCAGAUGUUCAGAAAUUCAAAUUUUGGCUGUAAUGGUAACAUACAAGCGGCUAACCGGAUUCCAUAAACGGUAAGCCGAUUAUGACCAAAAAGUGCAUAACGGCUAGUUUUUUAGCUCAAACUAUAUAAACUCAAAACCAAUUCAUUUUUGGUAAUCUUGGCAAGCAAAAAAAUAAUUGCACACAACAUAUAUUGAGCUUCAAUUUCGUAAAUCAUCAUUUAUUAAAUCAUCUUUGUUCUUCAAUUUGUAUAUCCACUCUUAAAGAGAGUUUCAUUAUUGUAAUUUUCAUUUCUCAUCAAAUUGUGAAUGUACAAGUGUGAUAAACACUUGGGGUGAAGAGAUUGGAGAGAUAAUCUCUUGUUGUAAAGGUUCAUUGACACCUUGAAGUCAAUUGUAAACGAUUGAAGACUUGAAAGGCUCAGAUAGUGAAAUCCUCAAGCCCGGUGUGCUUGGAGGCGUGGACGUAGGCGGGGAUUGCCGAACCACGUAAAAAUCCUUGAGUUUGCUUUCUCUUCCCUUGCUCAUUUAUUAUUGUGCUUUCAUUGAAUUUAUUGUUUUCAAAUUUAUUAAGGCAUUAGAUUGGAUUGUUGUGUGUUUGCUUAGCUUAAUUUAUAAAAUCUCAAUUCACCCCCCCUCUUGGGUUGCCUAGUUAGUAUUUCAUGGAUAUAUGGGAAUACGAAGCUUAGUGAAGAGUCAAUUUCUAGCCAAGAUGUCUUGAUAUCAAUUGCUAACUUGCUAUAAAGGUCAGGAUGUUUAUACACGAGCCCAUGCAUAGAAAUAUAAUAUAAAAAUAGCCAAGUCAUAGUUCUUACACGUAGGGGUGGGAAAAUCGGGUUUCAGUUCGGGUUGUUCGGGUUUCAACCCGAUCAGGUUGGAGAAUUGAACCCAAUCGGGUUAAAAACACCAACUCGAACCGAACCGAUUCAGUUUCGUAAUUCAGAUUGAAUUAGGUUGGUAAUUCGGGUUAAAAUUUCGAUUCACGUUAAUUCGGGUUAGUUUAGGUUAGAACAAUUCAUUCUAAAAAUUCGGGUUAGAACGGGUUGGAACAUUUUAAACCAAAAAUUCUACCAAAAACCACUUAAAAUAUAAAAAUCUCAAAUCCAAACAUCAACUAAAAUCAUCCUUAACAACAUUUCAACAAGUCUUUUUAAAGUUAAUAAAAUAUAAAACAUGUAGUCAAGUACAAUAAAACUACAAAAAUUACAAAUCUAAAAAUUAAAAUGGCAAAUGUCAAUCAUGAUUAAACAUCUCCACAUGACAAACAAGGCUAAUAGUCCAUCUCCAACACCAUCAAUAGUUAUCACAAUACCUCCAAAUUAGCAAUAAUUAACCAACACCAUAGCAAAAUAUCGAGCAACAACAGAUAGAAAAUGAAGCAAUUAGUCCAUUUUGUAGAAAAAUUAAAAACAUUAAUUAACAUUUAGUGGAAUCAGUCAAUAUGCCUUAACAAUUCUCAAUAUUACUAGUAGCAUGUUUGUAUUAUGACUACGCCCUAAUUGUGUAAUUGAUUAUUAUGCAAUUCUCAAUAUUACUAGUAGCAUGUUUGUAUUAUGACUACGCCCUGAUUUUGUAAUUGAUUAUUAUGCUUGAUCCAAAUCAAUACACAUAGUUACAUACUUACUAUUGCAACAAAAAAUCUUCAUUUUAGAACACUUGGAUGGUCCGCUUGUGUCGAUUUACGAAGUUCUACAUGAAAUAAAAAGACUUGAAGUAAAGAACUCUUAAAGUAAAUAAAUCUUAAAAAUAAAUAAGUAACCAUUAAUAUUUAUACCUUUUGUAAGAGCAUCCAUAAACUCGUUUUCCUCAACCAACGCUUGAAGGUUUAUUGUUGAAUCAACAAAAAGUGAAGAUCGCAACCAAUUUUGCAUCAGUAAUGCUUCCACCAUAUCAGGAGUCAUAGAACUCCUAUAUUCAUCUAAAAUACGAUCUCCCAUACUAAAAGCGGACUCAGAUGCAACUAUAGAUAUUGGAAUGACAAACACAUCUCUUGCUAUAUGCAACAAAAUUGGGUAUUUCAAACUAUUAGCUUUCCACCAUAGCAAAAUAUCAAAUGGAGCACCCAAUGCAUUGGGUGCUCGAUAUUCAACCGACUCCAUCAAGUAAAGAUCUAGCUCAUUAGAUAAUUCUAUGUGAUCUCUAGUGACAGCAACCAUCUCGGUGUAUUUGGAGAAAGGGUCCUUAAAUACCUCAUUGUCUUCAUCCAUAAAAGUUAGCCCACUAUUAACACUCGCACUUGCACUUGCACUUGGAAACACACUCGCACUUGCACUUGCACUUGGAAACACACUCGCACUUGCACUUGCACUAGCACUUGGUUUUAAGUAUUGAGCACUGUAUGCUUCAAAAAGCUUGUUUAACACAUCUUUCCCCAUGUUUUUCAUCUCAGCAUAUUUUGCAUUAUCCUUACCAUAUAAAGUCUCAAAACAAAGUGUUGCAAAAUUCAUUUUCCCCCGUGGAUCUAAUACAAAAGCAACGAUCAACAACUUAUUUAUCUUCGAAGGCCCCUCCUAAUACUCCUCAAAUUUCUCCUUCAUGCUACUUGCUAUCAUAUCUCGUUGUAGCACAUACUAUUUGUCACCCUCAGAGAAAAAGAAAAUGCCAAUGUGGCAUCAUAAAAAAAUCCUCAAAAACCUGACCAUCCGACGAGCAUUAUCCCAAUCAUAACUUCCUGGUGGUCCUACAUUUUUCUUCCCACCUUCUUUUUCACGAAAAUAAGCAUCAUAAAGCUUAUCCUCAUUUGUCAUUCGAUCAAAUGUCGAUCUAAACUUCAAUGCUGUCGUCAACUUAGUAUAUAUGGAAUUCCACCUAGUUGGACAAUCUAAAACCACACUUCAUCUAAAAGGCUUACCAUUCUUCCCCAAAAUCUUUUCUUACUCUACACGAAUUUGAAAUGCUUUCAAUCUCGCAGUAGAUGAUCUCACAUACUUCACAGCAUUGCGGAUACUAAUAAUAUUGUCAUCUAGUUAUUUCAACCCCUCAUUAGCAAAAAGAUUCAUAAUAUAUGCGCAACAACACACAUGCAUAAAGUUACCAUUCAACACCAAUGCAUCAUCUCUCCAAGUCUUCAAUUUAUUCGUCAAAUAGCUAAUGGCAACCUUAUUUGCACUUGCAUUGUCCACGGCGACUGUGAACACCCUUUCUAUACCCUAGUCAAGCAAACAUUUCUCGAGCUGCUUACCAAUAGUCUCCCUUUUAUGUUUAGAAAUCGUGUUAAAACUGAUGAUCCUCCUAUAUAACUGCCAAUCUUGGUAAAUAAAGUGAGUUGUUAUUACCAUAUAACUUGUCGUCGUGAUGGAAGUCCAAAUAUAUGUAGUGAGCAAGACUCUUUGCUUCUUAUCAUAUAAUAAACUUUUCAACGAAGCCUUUUCAGCAAGAAAUAAGUCAAGGAUAUCCUUAGUAAUGAUUCUACAAGAUGGGACCACAAAUCUAGGACAUGUAACACUGCAAAAAUGUCUGAAUCCAGAAAUCUCUACAUGCUAAAAUGGCAACUCAUCAAGAAUAAUCAUUUUAGUCGUUGCCCUUUUAAUAGCCUCCUGAUUAAAUCCCCUAACCACAACUGACCAAUCUCUUCAUUACCAGCACCAGUGGGUUCUUGAGUUAAAGUUGCUUGAUUUUGUAGAUAAUUUUCAUAUUCAAAACACAUUUUCAAGUGGUUCGACAAACUGCUAGUCCCAUCAGUAGAUUUACAUGAAUAUUCUUGGCUGCAAUAAUUGCACUUACACCGAUUAUAAUCUUCUGGCAAUUUAGUGAAAUCCUUCCACACCUUUGAUCUCGGAGCCAUCACUUUUCUUGGCUAAGAUGGUUUUGAUGAUGUCCUUGAUGACCUCUUCCUCUUCGAUCCGGAUUGGGCUUCCGUAGUCAUUGGUGACAUAUCACUAACUUCAUUAGAUUCAGUGGAUUGCAUGUUGUCACGAACUCUUGAGCCAUCUGUCUCAGACAUCUGAAUCAUAAAUCCAUAGCAUGAUCACAUCAGUGAUCAAAGUCAAUCUAUAGCAUAAACAUAACAAAACAAAGAAAUCUAGAACAAAACAUCACAAUUUAAUAUAAUAAUAAGAAUCUAUUGCGGAUUUGGACGCUCUAGCCAAUGUGAAUCCUAUUUCGACACCCAGUUAUAAUUUUGCAGUAAAAAAUGAGUUCUCAUUACAACAACUCAGAAUUUCAUAAUGUUAUAUAUCCUAAAUUUAACAAAUAUCACAAUUUAAUUAAUAAUAACAACAACAACAUUUGGGAAUUAAUAUAACUUUGCCGAACAAUAAUUAAGUUAAACAAACAAUAAUAAUAAUAGUAAUAAUAACUACGAAUCAGCAUUCAGUAUAUUGCCAUAUUCUAAAUUUAAAAAAAAGACAAAUUAUUUAAUUAACAAUCUCCAAUUUAAUUAAUAAUAACAGCAACAAACCCACUCCAAUUUAAUAAUAACAAUCUCUAAUUGUUCAAUUAUCAGUCAACAGCAACAAAUCCACUCCAAUUUAAUUAAUAACAGUCUCCAAUUGUUCAAUUAUCUGUUAAUAGUAACAAACGUUACAAACCCACUCCAAUUUAAUUAAAAACAGUCUCCAAUUGUUCAAUUAUCAAUCAACAGCAACAAACCCUCACCAAAUAAUUGAACAAUUGUUAAUUAAUUAAUUAACAAUCUCCAAUUUAAUUUAUAACAAUAGUCAACAGCAAGUCAGCAACAAACCCUCUCCAAAAUCCAAAUAUCAGUACCUAGUAUGGACUAAACUACAAACCUUGAUCGAUGGGAAGCUACAGCGUCGGCAAAGCAUGACUGUGUGGGCUGAGUGAGAUGCGAGGUGAACGGCAGGGCGCAGCUGCAGGCGACUUGAUUAUUGAAGCCAUGCUGGCUGACGGUGAGUGGGCUGCGGUGAACAGCUGCAAUAGGGCGUCUGCUGGAGCUGGACGGCUGCAGGCAGAGGGCUUCCUACUGCCGUCGUCGUGGCCUCGUCUUCAUUGUUUAGGGAUUUGCUUUCGAGGCUUGUUACUAGGUAACGAGACCGAGAGUGUGAGAAGUGAGAACAUGGAGGUAACGAGAGUGUGAGACAGUGAGAGAUAAGAGAUUUUUUUUUGUUUAAAAAUUAAAAAAAAAAUAUAUAUAUAUAUAUAUAUAUAUAUUUUUAAUUUUUAAAAACCAAAACUUAAAAAAAAAAAUCAACUUGUUCGCGUUAAAAUUCGAUUCGGGUUCCGAACAGAUUGAUAAUUUGAAUCCGUUCGAGUUGCACAGAUUACCCAAUUCGAAUGUCCACCACUACUUACACGAGCCCAUACAAGGGGUUGCAAGUCCUAGCUUGGCUCAUGUGCACUCACGUCCUACGCACAUGAGACUAUGCCACAUCUGACAAUAUGUAGCGAAUCCAUUGUAAUGACUAUUUAGUGCAGGCCUCGUGCUCAAUUGUUUACAAUUAUUAUUGUACUUACAAAUUUGUAUAUUUCUAAUACUACAAUAAGAUAAGGGUGGUGUUAAUUAUUUGAAUUUUGUUGUUGUUGGGUGGGGGGGGGGGGGGGGGGAGACAAGACAACUUUGACUAUAGUGGCCCAGGUGUAUGCCACCAAAAAUAUACAACAUAAACUUCUAUUUUAAUAAGAAUUUAUCAAUAUAAUAAAAAAAAGAUACUUCAAAAAUCAAAAUGAAAUUUUUUUGAUAACUUAUUAAUCUUUCAAUAAGAUUUCACACUCUAUGCUUGGCAUAAAGUCAAGUAAAGAAACAAAAAACUAAAAAUAUCUCCCAACUUGGACUUUACUUUCUUUAAAGGAACAAAAAUCGUUUUUUUAUCGAUUAUGAUCUGAAGCUUUCAAGACACACCUUCAAUUGAACCACAAUCAAUGUAGACGUAAAACUUAUCUUUCAGUUUGCAAUCAAUAAUAUAUAACUUUUAAGUAUGCCAUAAGCCCAAAAUAUUUUUCUUUUUAAGUAUACUUUAAUUAAGCUUUUUCUGAGAGAGACACAUAAAAAAACUUGGACACAAUUUAAAUAAACGAAGGUACGUAAUUUACUUAUAAGAAUUAAACUGUGCUGCCAUGGCCCAUGGGGCAUAAUUAUAUUACUAGUAAUAUAACUUUUUAGAUAUUUGUGCAUGUUAUCUUAUAUUACUAGCAGAAAUAACGGAAUAAGCUAUGAUUUUUCAACGUAUGGUACUGCUUGGAUUCUAUCAUUCUAGUAUUUGUUGUGAAUAAAAAAACUAAAAGGGCUCUAAUAUAAACAAAUUAAUUGGUUAUAUAGGGAACUAAUAUGACAGAUCAUCCUAAACUAGAUUAAAGGAGGUAUUUUGGAAGAAAACAAAAGAUUGAAUAACAAAUUAAAGAGAGGCAAACUACAUUCACGAGUGUAGCAAACAGCCGGGACACAAUGAGCCCACCAUUUAAGAUAAAUAAUUUAUGGUUAUUAUUAUUAAUUUUAUAACUUUAAAAGAAAAGAAUAAAAUUUGACUUUUUAAGACUUCAAAUGUACUCGAGUGAACAAAUAGAAAAACCAAGCCCUCCCAAAUUGAAUUAAGUAAUUGAAUAACCAACCCUGCUAAUCUAAGUUCCUGGGUUCGCCACUGCAUAGAAUCAAAAUAAUCGAAGAUAAGAAGCUUCGUUGGUAUGAUUCCCGUAGAAAUAAUUUCAUUGUGACAACAUGAGUAGUAAGGAAUAAGACUGGAUACAAAAUGGCUGUAAGAAAUAGUUAACCCAUCAGUUAAAUUGCUAACUAAUACUCCAUGAUAACAUACAUAAUAAGUCUCUUUGCCUUAUAACUGUGCAAUUUGCCAUUAAUUUAAGAAUAAGAAAAUCGGGCCUUACGCUGCUAAGUCUGCUCUUUGCCUUCUAUUUGGUUAAUUGAAAUAAUUAGGACUGUUUCUAUGUAUUUUCAAAUAAUGGUAAUAAUAAUGUGCUAACUGCUAAUUGUUCCAUAGGGCAUACUCCACAUCCCUGGAUACUCAGUUACAUGGUGUUAAAAAGGUUGAGGAAGUCACAAAAGAAAUGGCAUCAGCCUCGGCUUUGUAUAUGAAAGCUAUGUGACGAGUAUUUACAACAUUAAAAUAAUGGACAUUGACAAUCUGUAAACAAAUAAAAUUUGAUUUUUAAUCAAUCCUAAACCUGUCUAUUAUAUUCUCCUACUCCUUGAUGUAUAAUUAGAAAUUAGAAAUGUUUAAAAUAUAAAAGUUACACCGAACUCUUUUUUUUUUUUCAUUUCUUUUCUGGGUCAAAAAAAAAAAAAAAUAAAGAAUACAUUUAAAAUGAGCUGCUGUCUUUAUUACCAGAAGCAACCUUCCGGUGCCGCUUAGAACCUGAUCGCUUUUCUCCUUUGCCACGCUUAGAAGAUCUUUUCCCUGGAUUUUUUCCGGCUAAACUUGUACCCGGUAGAACCACUUGAUGAUGCGUUGUCGCAGCACCUGGAGAAGCCUUGUGCACCAAAAGGUCUCUGUGGUAUGCCUGUACAUAAAAGAUCACACAAUAAGCAAAGACUAUAGCAAGAAACUAACCAUUUAAGAGAAGCAAUAUUGUUGACAUUUGAGACAUUAAAUUAUAAACAAUGAAGAGAUUGGGUUAAUGUUUAGAACUUGUCUUCCCAUGAACAUAAUAUGGCAAUACACAAUAUAUACCUGUAUCACAAAAUUUCGCCUUUCACAAUCCAAAAACAUAUUGACAGUCCAAUUAACUUUUGCCAUUAUCUUGUCUCUAACAGUGGAAAAGCUUAACUGAUCCCUAGCAGUAAAACGAUCCACUUCAUUGAACCAUAGGCAGGAGAAUAAGUUUGUGAUGGGAAUGUGUUCCCUUAUGAUGACACAACCUUCCGGGACAUCUGCAAAAGUUCAAUCACAAAUCAUCAAUCCCAGUUCCAUAACAAAACAAUCCAUGAGAUACAAUAUAAUUAACUUACCACUAGUUAUAGGGAGCUUGGCCUCAGAAUAUGGUGUUAGACCUUCAUUCUUAUAGAAUUCAACCUGGUAAUCAAUAGAGGAAUUAUCAUACUUUCCUGCAGCUUUAUUUGCUUCAGCCUCCACAAAUACGUCAAAGCGUCUAUAGUGUCUCGAGAUAGCAAAAGUAGCAUUUUCACGCCACAAAAAUCUGAAAGGGGGAUAGUUUGAAAUAAUGAGUGGAAAAGAGCUAGGAUGGUCAAAAUAAUCUCCAAUCAGAAACCCAUUUUCUGAGGCUGGCAAAUUUCCAGAUUUAGAUAUGGUAAUGGAUAUCCAUUACCCAUAACUCUUCCCAUAACCCAUCUCUAUUCCCAUGUUUCAUCAAAACUUUGAGAGUAGGAAGGGAUCUGGAUGACAAUUUUCCAGAUUAGGGUAUGAAAUGGAUAUCCAUACUCAGAAUAUUGCCAUCCCUAAAUUUUAGUCCCUAGCACUAAUGCCUAGACAAUUGAUCCAUGAAUGAACAUCAAUGUGACACAGCUUUAUAGCAUAAGAACGAAUACAGCCACUGACAUUUCCAGAAGUCAAGUAUAACCAAAACGCGCAUUGAAGUAAAAUAGGGAAAUGGUGACCAAUUUCUCAUACAUAGAAGCUCAAAUUUCUUGUCUUUCUACAGCAAUUGAAGCAGAUAAUCCUAUUUUGUUAAAUACACAAUUCAGACUAUGACAAUACCUAAAAAAGAUAACAUAAGAAAAUGCUUGUACCUCUCAAGAAUUUUAUAUGGAUCCACCACAAGCUGGAGCUUUCCAUCAAUCCAUAUAGAAUAUCGAACAUUGGGGAAGAUCCUAUGCAAAAGAAGCUUUGGCACCUGUCGCAUGUACAUAAAAUGUAAUAAAUCCAAAACACCUAAGAUUUAGAAACAACACUAAACACAAUCAAAAUCCACAUUGUCUAACAACGGCUACGAGGUUUGUAUCUAAGUUCAUUUUCAAAAUCACAGGCAUCGACCUGUAGCGUAAAUUUAAUAAUUAUGAAGCUCAAAUUUGCUCUGGAUACAGCAUAACUUUAAUUGUUCAAAGUGUGGUUUUAACGAACCAUUUGUUCUUCUAUUGCAGCCAAGACCCCAGCCACAUGUUUGACUAACCAACAGUAGAAGGUUACUCCACCUAGUCACUUUAUAAAUAAAAGUUUCUGGAGGUCUAGGUUACCGAAAAGAUACAUUGAACUGCUGUUUAAUAAUUUACAUCGAAUCUUCCAUGUGCUACUGUGUUAAAGAUCUUUUUCACAUCAAAGAAAGUAAAAACUAUAUAAAUGGUGAUGAUCAAAUGACUCAUUAAUAUUAAUAAAGAAAUUAAAAUAAAAAAAUUAAAGUAAUUUGGACAAAAUCCUGGUUUAGAGUUAAUAAAGAUAGAAGCAAAGCAAACUGACCUUUCCAUUACGUCUAGAAUCAUUGUAAGGGAUGUUGCGAACAACAAUAAUUCUCCACAACCCAACCCUUUUAUUGCUGUCCAAGAUGAUAGAGUUCUUCAUAUAUGCUUCUGUCUCUUCAUCUACAAACAUAUAGAAAGGAACAUUUUGUCUUGCUGCUUGACUGAUUUUUUUGGGCUGUUGUAUUAGGUCAUAGUUCCCUGCCAAAUUACCAGAUAAGAUAGAAACCAGCAUAAAAGCAAAAUAUUCUCCAUAUAGAAGUUGAUCUACACAGCAUUACCAAAUAUUGCUGAUGCAACAAUGACAUCGUGGAAUUGCUCCAACUCUGUGAGAUCAAAUUCAUCCAAAUCAAACCCACUUUGACGACCGGGUCUACUUCCUUUGACAAAUCUAAUAAAGAACAAAGGAGCCAGUAAAACAGCACAAGAAGCUUUAGAUUCAGUUUACAUGAAGAAAGAAAUCAGUUUAUUACUCUAAGAUAUAAUUUUAAAUAAAAUUUCAUUCAGAACAACAAUCUUCCUUAAGAGUUACAAGAGUGUCAUCUCAAACAUCUAACAAAAUGAACCUACCCACAGUGCACUGUCAUGGACUCUUUUAUCUCAUAAGAACCAUUUCUCUGUUUUAGGGAAGGAUAUCCUCCAAAAUCAGAACCUCCAUGUGUUUCAGUUUUAACUGGAUUUUCAUCAUGAAUAUAUGUCAAGUUUUGAAGCACUGGGGAUUCUGAUGGGGAACUUGGCAUACUAGCUAUUGCCUGCUCUACAGGAACGUAACAGACUGGACAUGCUGCAUACAUAGAUGAACAAGAACACAAUCAAAAUCAAGAAAACAAGAUACAUAUCAGAGGAUCAUAUUCUGUACAUCAAUAAAAAUUAGAAUUCUUGCUAUGCACGGUUUCAAAGAAUUACGUAUUAUCACAAUUAUAUGUUAGUUUAAAUCAGUAUGGUAUAAAAGACAAUGGAAUCAAAAUAAUAUAUAUAGCUAACUUCUAACACAGCAUUUUAUAAGUGCAUGCUAAGAAAUUGCAGAGUUAUCUUUUGUUUUGAUUACAUUAUGAGGCACAUUCCAAUCCCUAAUCAACACUGACGAUGGUAAUAAAAACAGGGAUAGGAUAGCACAUUAAACUUACGCCGUGGUCCAGGACGCCGUAAACCAGGAGGAGGGGGAGGAGGAAAUGCAAAAUUCUCGCAUGGAUGGUGCAGAGGAACAACUCUUUUGAUCAGGGAAGCAGCAGCAGGAGGAGAAGGAUGCUGGGUUUUAUUUCCAUCUUUCUCAGUAGAAGAAUCUCUAUCCUUCUGGGUAUCUUUUACUCUAGAAAUCAUUAAAGCCGCAGGAUCAUCUGCAGCUUGGCUGACAUAUGGAACCAAGCUUCCUAUAUGUUCAUCAAUAUUCGAACUAGUAUUUUCUGGAGCACCAAUCAUAAAAGAGCCAAUUCCAGAAUACAAAUUAUUAGCUCAAAAAUAAAAAUAAACAAAAAAGCAGUAAACAGUAACAAAUAUUACAUUUUUUUUAAUGCUCGAGAUCCAAAUAAAGCUUAAAUAUAUAUUUCGACAAGCAAUUAUUGCAUUCAUAAGACAUUGAGAUUUUAUGAUAAUAUUGACAGUCUUAACACUUUGAAUUUAAAUAAAACCAGGAUCAAAUUAGGCCAGAACCCAGUAAAAAGAAACCUCGAGUAAAAUUUAUCAUAGUUCUUAAUGCUUGCUAUCCGUACCUAAUGCCAUCAUCCAAUCAAGACAAUAUGACUGCUUAAACAAUAAUCCAGAGCAAGAACUGCUCAAAUUCAUAGUAAACGAAAAUACAAAAAAAAAAAACAAGAAAUACAAACCUUUAUUAAGAACAUAGGAACCUAAUGUAAAGAUCAAGAGAGGAAGGCCAACAAGGAGCAGCAUUGCUACCCUUCUACGGCCUAAAAAUUUGCAAAACACAAGUAGAAGAAACUGCUUCUCUCUAUCUCUGGAACCUGCAAGCAGCAUCUUUGGAGAAGGCUUCCUGGUAAAGAUAGAUGAUGUUGGUUUUCCAACAAUACCAUUGUUGUUGAGUAGCUGCAAUGACCCAUAACUGGCUGUGCGUUGACCCAAUGACCCUCCAGUCAUUGUCUCUGAAUGCCCCUUAUCAAUUCUAGUCUCAUCGCCUUCUUUUUAAAUUCCCUCUAGCUCACAAUUGCCCUGCCAAACCUUACUCCCAAAAACAGAAACAGAUAUAUAUUCUCGAAUCAAAACCAAAAAGCCAACAAAAGAAAAAACUCGAUCCUCAAUCUUUGCCAAACUCCCCAAACUGAUCAAAACCUCAGCAAAGAUCAAUAACUCAAUUCUCAAAACUUCACUACCGAUCAAAUUCUUCAAACUUUAGUAGAUUGCUCAGAUAGAUAUCAACUGAUCAAAAAACCCAACGAAAUCCAAUGACCCAAUCCUUGAAACUUUACUAGGACAGUGAAAUGGAUCUAACUGAUUAAUAAUCAAACUAGAAUUCAACAACACAAUUGACGAAAUGUCACUGAAAUCCUAAAAAACCCGACCAAAUUUGAAUCAUGGGAGUAGCCACUAAACCAAACCAUUGAACAGUCCCACUAAACUUGACGCAAAAAGACAAUGCACUACUACAUUAUAAUAUAUACACGCACAAAGAACCGUCUGCAAAACAACAAUCACAUCACAAUUACGAUUCAAUUUCCUUAAAAGUUAAAACGCACAUUUUUCCUCUGAGACACAAGAACAAACUGAUUUCACAAUUCAGUUAAAAAAAAAAAAACCCAGAAGCCUAGGGAGAAAAAAAAAAAAAAAAAGCAACAGAGUGCGUACCUUUGAAUGGAUUUAAUGAAGAUUUUAAUGUGGGUUUUGUUAAAAACCUCGCCCCAUGAAUGGGUCUUUAUAGAAACUUCAGAUUUUGAUUGAGAGAGUUGGUUGUCAACAAAAGCGUGACAUCUGUUUUUUUGUUUUUUCUCUUUUAUUGUUUUAUUGUUUUCACAAAUCUCACAAAAAUAGAAACCAUGAUCGAGUAGGCGUCGAUGGCCCUAUCCAUUAAUCAUUCACAUACCGUAAUUAUUUAUAAUUUAUAAUCAUUUAACAUUUAAAUAAUUCUAACAGUUCAGUCCCAAUUGACAUAAUAUUUAUAUAUUGAAUUGAAUCCUAAAACAUUUAUCUCAAGAAAAAGGGGUGAGUGUUUGAGUUUCCUUUUUUCUUCUUUUUUACAAUUUAUAAAAUAAUUUAUGGUAUAAUUUUAUAAUUCACGUUAUGAGAUCACCUUAUUUAAAAAAUCUUUUAGAACAGAUUUUGGAAUAUGUCAAAUUAUUCAUAACAUGAGUAAUGAUACAGGCACAAACUUAUUUUAUACAAACUGACGUGACAUUAAUUUAUUGAUUGAAUAAAAAUAUAAAAUAAUAAAAAUAAAUCAUGUGGGUCAAUUGAUAUUUAAUUCAAUUAAUCUUAUCAUGUCACAUCAGUUUGUACAAAAUAAGUUUUUACAAGAGUUUGUGCCUAUAUCAUUACUCUUCAUAAUAAUAUUUUUAUUAUUAUAUUUAUUUUUUCGGUACAUUAAAUUUAUCUUACAUGAAAAAUAAGUAAGAAAGAUCAAAGAGGAAUGGAUGAUGCACUUGAUAUGUUUCCAAUUUCCUUCCAAUUGAUAAUAAUUUUUCUUUUAAAGAAUAUAAUCUUCAAGUUAUCCUAUCUUAAGGUAAGUUUGUGUAAUAACCUUAUCUUUGGCACUAUUUUUUGGUUGUUUAUGGAUUUUGCAACGAAUUACUUCCAUAAAAUAUAUUUAUGUCCAAAUAUUUUUGGUCCUCAUUCAAAUAGAAUUAGACUCAUCAAUAUUUUUCUUCUAUAGAAAUGCUUUGAGAUGUUGAAUUGGAAAAAGAAUGGAGUAAAUUUGAAAUUUUUAUGAAUAAGUCAAGAUUUUGUGGACUAGAAUGGGAAUUUGUGUUAAUGUUGGUGGUUUGGUUGUCACCAUAAGCUAUCAUGAUAGUGAUAAUUGAUUAAAACAAGAACAAUGGUACAUAAAAUUAUGCUGAUUAAAUAUUUGUUUUCUUUGACAAGGAUUUAAAAAUAAAUAAACUUGUACAACCUCAAGCAAUCAAUUUUCUCAAUUUAUUUUUAGUAGUUUCAUCAUUAGAAGUCUAUGCUCUGUAAGCUGUGGUGCAUUCACGUUCUCAUCAAUUUUGCUAGCAUUUGGUGUAUUUAGAUCAGUUGAGUGUAUUUUUAUGAGACGACACGUAAUGAUAUUGGAGCAAAACCGAAAAGGAUACCUACAUCUCAAGCUUUGAAAAAAUAAUCAUAAGAACCCUAAGUUUUAAAAAAUGGACACCAAGAGUCCAAGACCUUUUUUUACCCAUAAUACCCUUUGACUAUAAUAAUUAGAAAAUUAACUCUAAAGACUUUUAGUUAACACAAAUUUAAUAUAAUAAUAUAAUUUAUCUAGUAGAUUAAUAAUAUUAAAUUAUUUUUUACGUUUAAAACAAUAUUAAAAAUUAAAUUGUUAUAUCUAUUUUAAUAAUAUAUUUGUAAUAUUAUAAAAAAAAAUUAAAUAAAUCUUUGGGUUAAAUAGAUUUUACAAUUAAAAAAACUCCAUAUUAAUAAUAUUAAAAUCAACCUUUACAUAAUAUUCAAAGUAAUUUUAAUUUUAAUUUAUUUAUUUAUUUUAAUAUUAUGUUUCUAUCUAUUAUUAAAAAUUACUUUAACAUAAUAAAAUAGGUCUAAUAGAUUGAAAAAUAUUAAAAUAUUUUUAAAUAUUAAAAUUAUUUUGAAAUGUAUAUAUUAUUACAUUUAUUUUAAUGCCAUAUUUCCAUUUAUUAUAAAUUUUUGGGGUUAUUUUUUUGGGGAUCGAAGGGCAUUAUAGUAAAAAAAUGAGUCUUGUUGUCCCUUAUUGAAAAUUUGGGGGUCUUUGUGACCAUUUCCUUAAACUUUGAGACUGUCGGUGUCCUUUCUCCGAGGAAAAAUGAGAAUUCAAGAACUAUAUAUCAUUUUGUGAUUGCUUGAUGGUGAAGAGAAUGCAGGCUAUAAUAUUGAUGAUUUUGAAAUGUAUCAACUACAGGAUGAAGCACGACGUUGCCAUCCGGCAUAAAAUUAGAUGGUGUCACACAUCACCUAUUCAUGGUAUCUUCACGCUCGAGUAUGAGAGCAUAAAUUUUUGCUCUUUGCUGAAGGGAUUGACGAUUUUGAAACAAUUUUUUUAAACCCUCUUGACUAUACAAUGAGGUUAUCUACUUAUCAUUAGCUGCAUUGAUUUUACGCUUACCAAAUAACACUUAUUCUGAUGUUCAUUAUUGCUCUUCUGCUAAACCUCGAAGCCUAGUUCUUCAAAAUCCACAAUCAUCACAUUGUCUUGUUUGGUCGUGGAAGAUGGUUAAUUAAAAGCAAAUAGAGUGAUUUACACAAACAAUUAACCAGAAUGAUAGAUUUUCUCUUGCUAGCUGCUUGCUUGGUUUGCAAGAAAGGGAGAUGUAAAACAGAAAGCACUUUGAUAUAUGGGUCAUUGGCAAAUAUCCUGAUACAUAUUUUUAUAGACACGAGUGGGGUUUACUCGGAGUUUGAUGGGGCCUAUUCAGAGCUUAAUGGGACUAGGGAUAGGAAAGCAAUUCAAAUUCGUUUUAAUGUGGAAUCCAGUGAAUAUCACAAAUUCAAAAUUACUUAAAGAUGUUUAGGGAAUGACAGCUAUCAUUAUUAUUAAUUUCUAAUAGUGAAGUUGAAGAAAUUCUUUCAAAAUUGAUCAAUGAUUACUUUUCCUUUCCUAAUUUAGAUAUUCCCAUAAUGGAUAGGGGAUGGACUAUGUAUUGGUUCCAAACUUCCAAUUACGAUUUGAUUAAUUCAUAGCCGUAAAAACCAAAUACCAGAAAAAGCAAACACGAACCUGAACCCCAAAGAAAUCUCAAAAAUCUAAAAUUACAAAAUUCUGAAUUCUAAAAUUAAUUGACAUUAGAUCUUAAAAAAAAAAAAAAAAAAAAAAAAAAACUUGAUCCAAUUAUUUCUAAAAGAAUCUAAAAGUUUAAAAAGAAAACCCAGACCUUGAAUAAAAAAGAAAAGAUGCGUGCAAAAAUGUCAGCAAUCUAUUCAGUAACAAAAAGUGAAAAAAGGAGUCAUCUUUUUUUGUGUGUGUCUGUGAUUAUGAGCAAGUCAAAAGAUGAAGAAAAGAUGCUAUGAUUUAACAAUGAGCAAUUUUGUUGACAAAUAUGGUAAUAGAAAUUAUGGAGCGUUUAAUUUUGGGACACAACGGUAUGGUGGUCCAUUGUGUUUAUGUUAGGUCAGCUGCCACAUAUUUAUUAAUACAUGCUUGAAAAAGUAUUGUAAUAAAAACUAUGGGGGUCCAUGAUUUGAUUAAAUAAUUUACUCAGAUUGCAAAAUAUGCAUAAAUGUACUACUACUACUUUUGUCACUCUUCCCCCCCCCCCCCCCCCCCCAUUCUUUUACACUAUUUUUUAUUACCCAUAAGAUCAAAAUAGAGGGGUCAUGACUCAAGUGUCAUGCCCAUUAAUUUUGUUUAAUGACAUGGUUAAUAAUAAAUAAAUUUAAUUUCAAAUCAUAAUAUUAGUAGAGAACUAAGUAUGACUUAAAUUUUAUAAAUAAUAUAAGUUAAUUUUGUAAGUAAUGAUAUAAGUUGCGAUGACCCAUGUGCUGAUCUGAAAGGUGAGACAGAGAGGCACGCAGUGGAGUGAGCCAAAACGUGGACCACAAACAAAAAUGAGGCCCCAUUAUUGAGUUGUUAAUAAAUUGUCUGAAAGAGUGAAGACAGACACCUUACCAUAAAUUUCAUGUAUAAAAAUCGCAUGCAUUGUCAUGUGGAUGGAGUUUAUUGAUAAUUUAAUGGAAAACGGACAGCCAUUAUUGUUGCCGGAUGGUGUUUUUUUUUUUUUUUUUUUUUUUUUUGUCUUAACCAAUAGGUAUUUUGGGGAAGACCCCAAUUAUGAGAGGCACCUUUAAAUUCGUAACACAAUUCAGAUUAGAAGUCUCCCCUCGAGUCGGGAGGCACAUGUUCUCCCAACAAAGGCGACUUUCCUGCGACUCGAAUUGGGGAGCAAACCCAAUCAAACCACUUAAGGGGACUCCAUUGUCAGUAGAGCCAACACUUUGUUGGUUGACGGAUGGUGAUUUUGUGAAGACGACAAUGACUCGUUUCUAAGUUGUUGUUUCUUCUUAUUCAUUCUUCGCCCACGCCUCUCCUUUCCAUCCCAUUUGCUUUUUCUUAGUUCAUGCAACGAUUACAAAAGUUUGGUUUUGUCCGGACAAAUCUUUUAAAAAAAUAAUAAAAGAACAUAUGAUUGUUUUUAAUUACAAUUCUAUAGAUCGAUGAGUAGAAUGACAGAAUUAUGGAGGGGGGCAUUUUAGAUUAAAUCUAUGAUAUCACGUCCAAAUAUUUUUUAUUAUGGCAGAUCUAUUUACCUCUCAAAUAAUUACAAAAAGAUCUAUUUACCUCCAUGAUUUGUAUUAUUGGACUCCCCCACUCCCCCUCAGGUUUGAAAAGAUUAUGUACAUUUUUAAUAGUAGUUAUUUAUGAACUCACAUGGAUUGAACCAAUUUCUUUUGUGUUAUUAGGAGAUACAUUAAUAGAAAAAUAAAAGAUACUAAUACAAUAAAAUUUUUUUUUUAUAGUGAUGUUAUUUAUAGGAAUAAUUUUCUUAUAGUUAUAAAUAAGAAUAAGUUUUAUAUUUUAAUCAAUUAUAUUAUUUUUAGAUUUCGUCUCAAGGAACUCGCUCCAUAUAAUAAUAUUUAUCUAUAUAUUAUAAAAUAAUAAUUUUGAUAAUUAUACCUCUAUUAAAUUAUAAACUUUUCGUAAUAAUAAAACUAAUUUCAUCCCAACGAUAUAAACUGUACGGAUAUAGUUAUUGUAUUGCCAUUUGUUAGAUGUUGAAACAUGUGAAUGAAUAACGAUUAAGAGCAAAGUGAGACUAAAACAGCAUCAUCAACUAAUGGCAUGGUAAUGAUUAAUUAUAUAGAAUAUUAGGCCAUGGCAUUAUCGAAAACUUUAUGAUAAUCAUGGCAAAAAAAAAUUCAGAUUUAAUUAGCGUGGGGCCAGCUAAAAGGCACAGUGUGUUGCAUACUGUGUGAGUGAGGUGGAGGGUAAUUUCUCUCCCACCUAACACUAUAACUAUUAAAUAAAUAAAACUGAAAAUAGCAAAAGAAAAUCCAACGACCUUCAUUCAACUUUUAGAAAGCACUUGACUCCUUUCGAGUGAAAUUUCUUGAGGGUUGGUAAUUGCACUUUUCUCAGAAGGCACGUGGACCACACGCGCCCAAGAGGUUGUGAGAUGGGCCUAUUUAAUUAUUUUUUGUUUUUUAUAUUAUGGACUUUAAUUGUGACAUUGGUUAAGGCUAGAAUAUGGACGAGAGAAGAAUGGGAAAAUAUGAAAUUAUCAUAUUACAAUAAAUUGUUAACAAGAACAAAAGCAACGGGUCCAAUCAUAAAAGAUAAAAGAGAGGUACGAUACAAUAGUUGUAAUAUAAUUUUAUUCUAGUUAAGGAUAUUAAGAAUAAAAAUAAUAAAAAAUUUAAUAUGUAUGGGGCAAAAUAAUAAUAAAUUUUAUAUAAAAAAUCAUAUUUUUUAGAUCAUCUUAACUGAAUUUGAGGAGUCACGGCUUAACUGAUGAAUGUAAUUUAAAAUGACUUUUAAAUCACGCGUCUCCACUUAUCCAAUACUACCUUCGUUCUUAUUUGUUACUCGGAAAAAUUCUUGUGUUUUCAAAAGAGAUUUGUGUUUUAUUUUUUUUUGGCUUAUCAGAUGAUUUAACAAAAUUAUCAAUUAAAUCUAUUCAUUUACUAAAAUCGUUUUAUUAAUAUCAUUAUAAAUGACUCUUAAAAUAUAUGACAAAAAUAUUGUAAAAUAUGUUAGUCUCAUUGUUGUGCACUAAUGAAUUUUCAACUAAAUUUACAAAGCCCGAUCUAAUUAAUUCUCCUCCAAAUAUGUAAGAGUACAAAAGAUUUUUUUAAUUAAGAAAUAUAUUUUAAAAAUAAAUAUUCAAAAAAAAAUAAGAAGAAGAAGAAGAACUGCCGUCAACAUAGAGCGCGUGGCUACAUAAUCACAUAAAAUAAGAAUGUCUUUUUUACUGAAAGCUGCGCCUCUGCGCAUUAUAUAUACAUAUUUUAUUUAUUUAUUAUUAUUAUUGUUAUUAUUUUUAAUUAUUAUUAUCAUAAACAGCAAACAAUAAUUCCACUUCCACACACGCAAACAAUAAAUAAAAAUAACAAUUUUUUUUUUUUUCAGCUUCUGUGAAAUAACUACUACACUCUUUACUAUACGUUUGUUAAAGGCUUCUCACCAAAAUCCAAAGUCUCUCUCUAUGAGUGCCCUAGAUCUGUAAACCCAGGAUCAUUCAUUUUUUGUUUUUCGAGUUUCAAAGUUUUGAUCUUUUUGCAAUUCUUUGCUUGAAUCAGGGGCAAGAAGAUUAAGCAUGCUCAAAAGGUACACACUUUGCGUUCAAAGAUGAACAUUUUCGUGUUUUCAGAAUUGGGCUUGUGAGUUUUUAGGGGUUUUUUUUAUUUUUUAUUUUAAAUUUUUGGGUUGUGCUGAAGCAGUGAUUUUGAGUUUCUUGAGCUGUGAAUUUAUUGGAUUUUGGUAGUGAAGAUGUCUGUUGAUGCUCUGGAACUGUCAUUUUCAAGCUAUUAUGCAUAUUUUGGAGUUUAGGGUUUAUACUGAAUAUGGUUGCAAGUAUUUUUGUUUAUUAGUGGAAAGAGUUUACUUGAUGGUGUGAGAGUUGGGCUGCAUUCAGUGAAUCUUGAAUUUGAGUUGGAUUUGCUCCUUUAUUUAGUUGAAAAAGUUGUUAUUGAUAUAGAGUUUACUAAAUAUGGGUAUAGAAGAAGAGGAUGGUAGUAUAGUGAAAAUGCGAUAUUUGAAGGGUAACUAUUGAUUUUGAAGGAAGGUUGUGUUGGGGGUGGUGUUGGUCAAUAAUGGGUUGCAUUUGUUUUAAACCCUCUGCUAUUGAAGAUAGUAAAGAGAGCCCAAGAGAGCGUCUCUCAAGCAAGGCCUCGUCAGACUUAAGAGGAUCCAGGGCAACCUCCUCAAGGAGAGAGGAAGUGUAUCGAGUGAAAGAUCGAUUUGAUAGUAAUGAUGGAAGAGCAAUGUUAAUUGAUAAGCAGGUUAAUGGCUCUGUUCGGUUGCAUGGCGAGAAUUUUGAUCGGAAGAGGGAGAAGAUGGAAUAUGUUGUUGCCCAACAUCAUCCAGGGAUGGGUAGUAUUCCAAAAGCUUCGGAAGGGGAGCAGGUUGCUGCUGGGUGGCCAGCCUGGUUAGCUGCAGUGGCUGGAGAAGCUAUCCGGGGAUGGGUGCCACGGCGUGCGGAUUCCUUUGAGAAGCUGGAUAAAGUAUGUUCCUUCACUGAUUAUUGUGGUGCAUAAAUAUUGUCAUAUAGUGUUUAUUUGCACAUCGAUAUUGUCCUUUUUGAAUUUUCUGUUGUGAUGAAUUAGUAAUUGCUUGAUAGUUUUAUUAUCAGUUUUGUAUCUGGAUAACGAAUGAUAAUAAGUUAUCUUGAGAGGGAACAUUUACCAAACAGCUCUAACUUUGUGUCAUAAGCUCUCAAGGUUUCCUUAAAAAAAAAAAAUAUUUCUGGUCAUAUAUCUAUGGAGUUAUUUAUGGUACAUGUGUAUAAUACAAAUCUAUCCUUAGAUGAAAUUAUGAUUUUAACUUUUGGAUUUUGUUCAAGAAUGUGAAGUAUAGCCUGGGAAACAUCCAAGAAGCAUCACCAUGAAUUCAGAUUCUUAUAGAACUAUCCAUUCUACUUCUGCAGAGUUCAAAUAAUGUUCAGAGUAAUAGUUAGUUCUUAUAGAAAACCAGUUAAUGUUAGGGAGAACUGAACUUUGGUGGGUAAUUUGAGUGUAACUCACUAGGUAUGAAGAAACUUGAAGAUAUUGCACACUAAUGCGCAUGAUUUUAGAUGAUUGAAAUUUGUGGAUUAUGAUGCGUAUCAACAGUUUUAAGCAUACAUGCAUGUUUGCUUGUGUAAUAUUUGACUGCUUGCUAGGUCUUGGAUUAUGCAUGCUACUUCUCUUUAAAAUUAAGCUGAUACUGCACUUUUGGAAUUUUAGCUAAUUUUGUGCCCAUCACUAUUUUUCUCCUUCCCCUUUUUUGACUACUAUUUUGCUAAUAUUUACAUUUUUUGUUUUUGUUUUUGUUUUUGUUUUUGUUUUUGGGGAGUCCCUUUCUAUUUUUUCCAGAUCAUUCUAUUUAGUGAGUAGUUACCAUGAUUUAUCUUCAAUUUUUUGUCCUUCUCCAAUGCCCACUUUGGUUGACUUCACUUGGAGGCUGGUUUUGAUUUAUAGUUUGAUGACAACAUAUUGCAAUGCAGAUUGGCCAGGGAACUUACAGUAAUGUUUAUAGGGCUCGUGAUCUUGAUCAAAAGAAAAUUGUUGCUCUGAAAAAAGUAAGGUUUGAUAACCUGGAGCCCGAGAGUGUUCGCUUUAUGGCAAGGGAAAUCCAUAUUCUCCGCAGACUUGAUCACAUAAAUGUAAUAAAGCUGGAAGGCCUCGUUACAUCAAGGAUGUCUUGCAGCUUGUAUCUUGUUUUUGAGUACAUGGAACAUGAUCUGGCUGGGCUUGCCUCACAUCCGGGACUGAAAUUUUCAGAAGCACAGGUGUUUUUGAUUAUUUUUCCCCAAUUUUUUAUUUUCCAUAGCUAGAACUGUGUAUUUAAAUUUCAUUUCUGAAAAUGCAGUUAAUUGUGUACCUAAGCUUGAUAUAUCAAUUACAUGGAAGCUAGAUUAUUAAAUGCAGAUACAUUUAGGUAUUAAGUGUUUAUUUUUUUGGGCAGGUUAAAUGUUACAUGCAACAACUUUUGUGCGGGCUUGAUCAUUGUCAUAGCCGUGGAGUCCUUCAUCGUGAUAUAAAGGGAUCCAACCUUUUAAUUGACAACAAUGGCAUCCUGAAAAUCGCAGACUUUGGCCUGGCUAGUUUUUAUGAUCCCGAUCAAAAUCAGCCUUUGACAAGCCGUGUUGUAACUCUUUGGUACCGGCCACCAGAGCUUUUAUUGGGAGCAACUUACUAUGGCACUGCUGUGGAUUUAUGGAGUACAGGUUGCAUACUUGCAGAAUUGUAUGCUGGCAAGCCUAUAAUGCCUGGAAGAACUGAGGUAUUUUUAAACAGAAUGGGAAAAUUAUGGGAUUUUCUGCCUACAUUUAGAAAUCUACUUUCUUUAACUUCUUAUGGUCCUAACAGGAUAUUUCUGCUGCAAGGUUUUCCUGUUAGGAAUAAUGCCCAUGGUUAAAGUUCCUAAUAAUAGUUAGACCCAAAAUUUUGUGAGAUAACAGUCCUGAUUUGAUUUAGAUAGUGAUUAGAUUUUUCUGUUGUAUCUGCCUGAUUCAUACAUAAGUUCAUGACUUUUAUAAGAGAAUAAUUCUAUUCAGAAAUGCAUGUAACUAUGUGGCUUAUAUUUUGGAGACUUUAGUUUACUGCUUUAUUUCAUGCUUGGCUGUUACGGAUGGAUGUGGUUUGAUCUGGUUUCAGGCUAGUCGGACUUAAAAUUAUUACAGUUGACCUAAAUACGCUGGAGUUGACAGUAAAAUGUAGCUUCGAGUAAUUCUAGUAGCCAACUAAGUUGUACCUGUUUUUCAGAAAUUAUUGAUAUCGCAUAUAUCUUCAGUUUUAUUUCUCUAGAUUGUUUUAGUAGAAAUUAUCUGUUGAAGAUGAGUCCUGGGGCCUCUUUUACAAUUAGUGACAACCACUUGAAGAAUGUCAUGAAUCAAUGAAGCUAAUUUUUCUCCUGUAUGAUUCCUUUAAGCUGGGAGAAGUUCCAUACUUAGUUGGUUCCUUGCUUGAGCUUGAAAAUAAAAAUAAAAAUCAGUCAGUUGUAUAUCAGUUUAUAUGUAUUUGUUUAUACUUCUUCUGAGUAGCAAUCUCGCACCUAGGAUAUUAUUUCGUAUUUAUCCCCUACCAAAUAAAUGAUUGGAACUUUGGGAUUUUCUGAUACAAGUUGUCCUAGCAUAGUCUCUCUUCUGUUUUGUUUUGUCUUAUUUUGCUCUUUCUAAGUAGCACCAUUAUUUAGUUUAAUUACUCAAAAGUUUGCAUCUUUUUGUCUUGUAGGUGGAGCAAUUACAUAAAAUUUUUAAGCUUUGUGGCUCACCUUCUGAGGAUUAUUGGAGAAAGUCUAAGCUGCCUCAUGCAACCAUCUUUAAGCCCCAACAGCCUUAUAAACGCUGUGUUGCUGAAACAUUUAAGGAUUUUCCUGCACCAGCUUUAGCGCUCAUGGAGACCCUUCUUUCUAUUGAUCCAGCUGAUCGUGGAUCUGCAGCAUCUGCUCUUAGGAGUGAGGUGUGAAUUUUUUGAUAAAUCAACACAUAUAUUAUGUUUUCGAUGAUUCCUAGACCCUUUUUGCAUUGUGUUUUUUCAUAAAGGGGUGUUAAUCCAUUAAUCUUGAUUGGUGAUCAGCUGGACAUUCUCUUGUUUGCAAAUCAAAGUACUAAUUUUUCAAAAACUCUAGAUUUUUAGUCUGGCAGGGUUUAUUUUGUCUUCAUAUGUGCUCAGAUAUUUUACUUUCUUUAUAUAUAUAUAAGAUUUCCAAUGAUAACUUCAGCUUGUGCCUUAUAUACUGUACAUCUCAGUGACUCAUUAUGCUUCAAGUAGAAUUUUAAAUAAUCAGUACACUGUUGACUAGAGUGUUUGCUAUCCAAUUUUUAUUGGUCAUCAAAAUUUCCCAUAUGAAGCCAGUUCCUUAACCUGUAAAUUUUAUGUCAAGUUUAAAUAAUGCACAUUUUCUUGAAUGCUGUUAAUGAUGCAAUUAUCGUCACACAUAUAUUCUUCUGUGGCAAUUUAUCAUAAGGAAAGAAUUUUGCUGGGAGUUGGUGGUUUGGAUGGCAUGUGCAAUUAAGCUUCAAGGAACUAUUGUAGGAUUUCUUGAUAACUAAAGUUGGAGUACUAAAUUGAAGCUUACAUGUCAAGAAUUGUUUAACCUUAGAGGCACUAUUCUUAUUUGUGGCUAUGGACGUCAGUGGUUGUAGUUUGUGAUAGGGUUUGAUAUUUAACACAGGCUUGCAUAUUUAAAGACGGCAUUGUUUUAUCUCUAGUAUUUCACUUUGGUUUCAACUCCUUUAUGUUAUGAAAGAGGACAUCAGGUGUAGAUCACUACAGGUUAAAAGGCAUCAUGAGUUGGUAAAACUUUUGUACAAUAACAGAUUUUAUACAAUAUAGGGUUGGAAACCGCAGUUCAUAUGGGGACUUAAUGUACCAUCAAGUAUUUUAGAUUAAACUGCUGUCAUGUGUUUCUAAGAUUGAGGAAUUUCAUCCGAUGGGAUCAUUGGUAAGUAAAUCUCCUAACUUUUAGGAAAUCUUUUGAUGGAUGUGAAGAUUAGUCAGGAAUAGAAAAGUUUUUUGUCUUUUAUUCCCAUACAGUUUUUAAAAUAGUCUGUGUAGUACUUUGGGCUUGUACAUUUUGUUGCUUUUUAAAUCAUGAUAUUGAAUUAUUCAUCACUCUCUUCCUUAUUUCUUAUUAAAAAAAUAAAUAGAUAUUAUUCUCUUGGUAAUUAGUGAAUAACUUGCUCCCUACUCAUUGCAACAUUCUGAGUUUCUUUUGCUUUAUCUUAUCCAGUUUUUUACCAUGAAGCCUCUGCCUUGUGAUCCAUCCAGCUUGCCAAAGUAUCCUCCCAGCAAAGAAUUUGAUGCAAAAAUACGGGAUGAAGAAGCGAGAAGGUGCAUAUUGUCAUAAUUAGAUCAUGUUUUUUCAUGUCAAAAUUGAUUGCUUGCUGGAUUUGAUUAUUGGGUUAAGAUUACAUUUUUGUUGGGUAAUCUUAUAAUGAGCCCACUAUUGGAAUUUUUUUCAUCCGUUUUAUUUUUUAUUUUAGGGGCUUUCAUUUGUUGGACAGCCCAAUGUGAUAUUUUUCUGUUCUUCUCAAUUCAUAAGACCACUGAAGUGCUGUAGGUAUGGUAGGUGCUAAAGAAUGUAUACUUUUUUUAAUCCUGUAGGCAAGGAGGAAGCAAGGGCCAGAGAAUGGACCUUGAAAGGAGAGGAACAAGAGAGUCCCGAGCCAUCCCUGCACCUGAUGCUAAUGCUGAAUUGGUGUUGUCUAUGCAGGUAGUUAUUUUCUUUUGUUAAUGUCCUCUUGUACUGUCAUUCUUUCUCUUAUUGUCAAUGCAUGCCCUAAUCAUUAUGGUGUAGUUUUAUGUAAUCUGAUCUUUAUGCGUUUGCUUAUUCAUGUUAAAUUUUCAUUUAUGAGCUGUAAUAUAAAGAAAGUAACAAGAAAGUACUGCAAUUUGUUUCUUAAUUACAGUUUGGCAUGAAUUUUCUUAAUUAUGUAUUUGCACAAUCUUCCUGCAAAGGAGGUAUUAGGUAUGAAGAGCAACGGCUAAACUGAAGGAAAAGGAAUGCAAGUAUAUGAAAAGCAGAGCUAUUUCCUGAAAUAUAAAGCUUAAAGCUAAUUUAAAGAAGCUAUAUAACUUUCAAAUGUGACUGACAUAGCAGAUGAUAUGAUUGGAAAGUUCUUUAGUCAGCAAUUUUCCAAUACCUUUUAAGGCCUACCUUUAGAGCUAAGCUGCAGUUACUGCCCAUUUUGGCCUAACCACCUUUUCUCCAUUCGAUUUCACCGAAAGACUACCUCAUUAUCUCCCAGUACAUUGCAUGCAAAACUUUUCUGCUACAACCAAGGGUUAUUACUCCAUUUGUCUUCAUUUAACAAGCCUCCAAAUACCAUCCUUGUCAGUUAACAUAUCUAUAACCACCUUUGCUUCAAUUUUCAACAGAGUUUUGUGUUAAUAACAUGUGAGAUGUAUGAUCUUUUUACCCAAUGCAACGUUGCAUUUUAAGGGCUAAUUAUAGAUCUUCAUUUGGAUGAUGUCACUAUGCCGCGUAUUAUACAAAAGCUGACAAUUUGGUACUGCAUCUGAAGUUUUGGCUGAAAGCAAUUUUGAUAUUUGUUAAUGGAACUAAUUGGAUUAGUUAUCGAUCACAAUCAUUGGUGAACAAUAUAUUUUGUUAGUGUGCAUCUGUUUGCAAGUUUUUUCUGUUCAAUAGGAAUAGCCUGCUGCCCCAAGUUUGUACAGUUUUAAUACCUUUGCAAAUAUCAAGUGCUUUUAUUUAUUUAAUUUUUUAUAUACCUUUACUUUAAUUUUACGAAUACACUAAUAUGACUUAUUUAUUAUUUCAGAAAAGACAAAGCCAGUACAACUCUAAGAGCCGGAGUGAGAAGUUUAAUCCUCAUCCAGAAGAAGUUGCAUCUGGCUUCCCUAUUGAUCCACCUAGACAAUCACAAGUGACAGAAUCAAGUGCAGGUCCCCAGGGGCAUAAUCAUAAAAGAGCCUCCCACUCAGGACCACUGGCUCAGCGUGCUGCGUGGGCAAAGGCAGGAAAAAACACAGAUGAUGCCCCUAAGAUUUCAACCGGUGCUGACUUGUCAACGGGACUAGUGGCUGCAAGGAGGAGUUUAUUAUCUGAAGAUCGUAGAGAAAGGUCUGGUUCAGCUCAACCAGAAGUUCCGAAACUAAUUGCAAGGUUUCCAGGAUCCUUUAAAGAGGCAUCAGAAUCUUUUAUCCAACAUGAUCAGAAGCAUCAUGCUCAAGGUGUUGCAGGUUCUCAUCAAAAGGAAGAUGGAAGAAUUGGCAACAAAGAUCCAAUUCUUGUUAGUAUUUGCUGUGCCUUAUUUUUCUUCCUAUGUAUAGGUUUACAAGUUUUCUGAAUAUUGUUUUCUUGACCAAACUCUUAACCAAUAGGAUGAAUCCUAUUUCUUAGGGAUUUGACUGCCUGCUUAUUAUUCAUGCUAUCAUGAUUGUCUGACGCCCUGACUCUUAUGUUUUGCAUUUUGGUCCAGCUUGGCUAUGGGUCGAAGGGUCACAAAAUUCAUUACUCUGGCCCAUUGAUUGUGCCUUCAGGCAAUGUGGACCAGAUGCUCAAGGAUCAUGAUCGCCAGAUUCAAGAAGCUGUUAGACGGGCACGUGUUGACAAGGCAAAGGUCAGAAAAGUUCAGAUGGAAGGGAACCAAUUAUCAACAAAUUCAUUAUUUGUUUCUGGCCGUUAAGCUGGCCCAAGUAAUCCUCCAAUGAAGACGAACCUUAUCAGGAAGAUCACUGCAGAAUAACUUGGCCGGUGAAAAUCACUUGUGAAAUAUAAUUUUAGUCAUUAGUCAGGUUUUUGUAUAGGUGGUGUUUUAGAAAGAUGCGCAGUGCUCGCAAUUAGCUAUGUUCAUAGCUUACCGAAAUAUCUCUUUGCAAUUCAUCACUUGUAUUUUUCUUUCCACUCGGCAACUGUAAUUUCUAAGUUAUGGGCCAUUCUUAUAGAGCUUAUUUAGCCAUAAAUUAUUUUGGAAAAACGACCAUGUCUUAUUAUGUGAUUAAUAGGAGGAAUGUGUCGAAUGUCCUUUGCUGAAGUUGCCAAGAAUUUAGUUGAUCCCACUGUAUCUUUAAGCUUGAUGCUUACAAUAUUACAUUGACAAUUCUAGUUGUAGUACUAGUCAACUUUGAUUUCUUCCCAUGCAGCAGCCAAGUUAGACGCAAAUGGGGCCUUGACUAUCUAGUCUGGGAUUUAGUGUUUAAAGAAAAUUCUGAUUUAUUGCCGCAGCAGCAGCUAUUUAUUGCCAGGUUUGCUAGCCAACUUAGAAUUGCUGAGCUGUUUAGCUGAAAAUGAACUUCGUCAAACUGCUACUGUUGUUUCUGACCAUAGGCUUGGUUGAGCCAACCAGUGCUUUGAAGUUCGCCUUCGAUGGCUUCAACACUUCAAAACUGUUGCUUUACGGCAGCGCAAAACUGGAUUCCGGUGCCAUUUCACUCACCCAAGAUACUACUUUCUCCAUUGGAAGAGCCCUCUAUCAUGCUAAGAUCCCCCUAAGACGUACAAACUCAUUUGAAACCUCUUUCACCUUCUCCAUCACCCCAUACAAGGGCCAGCUUCCCGGCCAUGGGCUGGUCUUCAUCCUCGUGCCUUCCGCUGGCAUCCAAGGAGCUGCUGCAUCUCAACAUCUUGGCUUCCUGAAUAGAACAAAUGAUGGUAAUCCGAACAACAAUGUUUUUGGUAUUGAAUUCGACGUAUUUCAAAAUCAAGAAUUCAAUGAUAUCAACACUAACCAUGUUGGUCUGAACGUGAAUUCCCUCACUUCUUUGGCUGCUUAUGAGGCUGGAUAUUGGUUUCAGGACAAUCAGAAUAAGAGUAACUGGCAUUUCCAUGAGUUGAAGCUGAACAAUGGCAAGAUUUAUCGGGUAUGGAUUGAUUACAAAGAUUCUUUUGUUAGUGUAAGUAUAGCUCCUGCAAAAAUGAAGAAGCCUUUGUGGCCAUUGUUGAACGUUUUUAUUGAUCUCUCAGACUUUUUUCUUGAUGAAAUGUAUGCCGGUUUCAGCGCCGCCACCGGACAACUUGUUGAAAAUCAUAAAAUCCUGAGUUGGAGCUUCUCCAAUUAAUUUUCCUUUGAUCAUUUUCUUAAAAAUAUGUGCGAAUAAGAAUCCUUUUUGUUGGAUCAUGAUGAAUAUUAGAAUAAGAAGUAUUCUUUCCAUAUAUAUAAUCUUCUUCUCAUAUGGUUUACUAACUGCACUUGUUUUUUUUUUUUAAAAAAAAUAAUAACAUCUAUUAUUAGGGUCAAGAAAGACCAACAAUACACCAUCAUAAAGGUACAAAUAUAAGGUUAGUCUUAAGUAUAAUAUAUAGGACAAUGCUCAAGGGUCAAGCUUAAGUUAAAGAACACCCAACCACAAAGUAAUUAAGAAUUAUAAUUUUAAAAUUGAAAAGAAGUAUAUUUAUUUUAGCAGUAUAUACAAAGUAAACAUGUCAAAAUGCUUUCUUUGUAGACUAAUCUAAAAGGGUAGUUUUUAGGGAUCUCUUCUAAGAUUAGGCGUAUUAACACUUAGAUAAAAAGUAUGAUCGUGGUUACAUAUACCUCCUGUAUCGUCUGUAUUUAAUUUCGUAUAUAGAUUAGCCAAUAUAGGAGGGUAAAUUAGUAAAAGCUCAUUUAAAAUUGAAAUAAACAAAAAGCCGCUUUAAAGAUGAUAAACCCACUGAAACACUAAAAAAAUCCGGAUGAAAAUCAGUAAGCCAUUAGCCAACGGAUGGGAGAAUGCUUGUUGUUCUCUUUCAUUAAGCUAACUCAUCUCAAUACCAUUUUCUCUUUCAAUCAACCGAAGCAUACGCACAUUCCUCAUCUCUAAAUGCUUUGAAGAUGGAAAAAAAAAAUCAAAUUUUAAUUGCCAAGUCCCGCAAAUUUAGCUUCUUAGAUUUAUUAACAACAAAAGCAUCGGUGGUGGCUUAAUUGUGGUGUCAGGUGAAAAUCACUGGCGUUCGGCGUCAUACGUGACUGUCAUUAACUUGAAUUGAAAGAAGGUUAGUCUUUGAAAAAAAUUUAGAUUUAAUUUUUUUGUUUUAAUAUGUAUUAUAUUUUUAAAUUAAUUAGAAUUUUAUUUUGUUCAAUCACAGAUCGGGCUUUUUUUAUUGGUUGAAAAUGAAAAUGGGCUUGUUGAAGUGUUAGAGAAAUUUUUGGCAUUGUGUUGUUGUUCAUUAAAAAAUGAUACUAGUUUGUGGAUGUAUUGAAGAAGAUGCGUGUUGUUUGUUACUUUCAGACUUUAGCUAUCUGAUUUGUCAAGUUAUGAGCUAAUCAAAACAUAUGAUGUUAGAAAUUAGUGAUUUUUAGGUGAGUUCUUUGUCAAAUAAAAAUGGAUUAGCACUGUUAUGAAGGAUAUGGAUGCUAUUUGGGAGAAUUGACUUCUUAAUAUGUGCUUGAACUAAAUAUACCAAUGCACAUUAGAAAUUAGUGAAGUUGUUGUUUGUGUUGUGAUGCUUUGAAGAAGUUGAAAAGGAUAUUGCUUGUGCUCCUUAAAUGAAGAAUUUUUUGUUGCUUGAUAAGAAAAGCAUUAGUGACAAAUAAAAUGAAGAAAUUUUGGAUGAUGUUUGUGUAAAAGAUUUAAAUUAUUUGUCUUAUUGAAGCUGUCCUGUGUUUUUAUUUGCGACUUAACCAUUAAAAUGACUAUGUAACAUUGAUUAGAGGCUGCAUGUGCUCUUUUUAUGAAGGAAGCAGUAGUGGCAUUCCUGAUGGGGUAAUGAGAUGCUAAGAUGGGAAUGUAUGACCUUUUAAUCAUGUUUUCGCUUUAAAUCGAAGUGACUACAAUCCCUAAGUCUUCUAAAAAGAAACUUAAUUUUUCUUUAAAGAUGUAAAAACACAUCAUUUCCAUUUUUAAGUGACUAUGAUAAUGCUUCAAAUGAAAGUUGGUGUUGGUUUUUGUCAAAAUCUUUUGUUAAGCACGGUGAAAUGAUUCAAUUUUCAUCGAAUAUGCGAAAGUUCCUAAGUGAAUAACUUGUGGUCUCAUGUUAUUUUUUUAGAUGAUGCUCUUGUGGAGGUCAAAAAGGAAAAGAGAGUCUUUGUGAAAAAACAAAAGCAGAGAACAAUUAUGCCUUUCUCUAAUUGUCUUUCUUUUGACAUGUAUAUCAGGACUAGUGUGCACAACUCACCUUUAUUGACUAAAUAAUUUAACCAUGAACGAGUAAAAAUUUAAUACUUUUCCUACUGAUCGUAUGUGAAUUGAAUCAACUGUAUUGAAAAUUUUGAUCAAAGCAAAAAAAAAAAAAAAGGCUUUCAGCCUUCAUUACAUUCGAAAAUAGCAAGUAGGAAUUUUGUAAGCCCAACUGAAAAGGAUUAAGGUAACCUGACUCUUCUUGUUCUAGAUUCUUUUUUCUUUCUUUGUUCUACUUCCCAUUUCAUCUUCAGCUCAUUCACUAAUUGGCAAGAAUAACUGGAAAGGAAGAAGGUAGAAUAUGCUGAAAAUAUGAAAAAUAACGUAGCUACAUAUCACAAAGAAGUAGAAGAGGAAAGGCAAUGGUUGAAGUUAGUGAUUAAGAAUAAAUUCUGAAGCUAAAGAAGAUGGUUGAAAAAUAUCAUGCAACUAAGAUCACUUUAAAGAUCAAUGGAACUGAACAAAUGUUAACAAUGGGAUGUUGUGCAUUAGAAAUACCAAAUUUGCUUUUGAACUGUUGUAUUAUGUUCAAUUUUUAAAAUUUAUUUCACUGUAUAGUAUCACUAGCCCUAGUUUUCCAGCAAUAUAUUUAUUUUCUUUUUACAAUUGAUGAAUAUUUGAUGUCAAAUUUUUAUUUCCCAAGGGUGUUAAGUGUAAUGAUUAAUUUAAUAUUUAGCACCAAGGGUGUUUAAUUCUUUUUCUAGAACCAAGGGUAUUUUUGACAUAUCACUGAUCAACUAACGGUCAAGGAAACUGAGCACAGACGGCAAGGGAGGUCUCUGUGAUUAUGAUGAUACUUUCUAUCUAAAUGUCAAUACGCCAAAUCUCGGGGGAGGUACCUAAAUCUAAAAGGGGAGUCUUUUGUUUCAUUUUUUUGGCCAUUUUCUCGGUUUUAUAACUAUUCUUAUCCCAAACUGAAAAUCCAGAUAGAUACGAAUGGUAACUAGCUCUCUAUCGCUUCGUCAUAUAUCACAAUGAAAAAGCAGUUAUGCAACUUCAUUUUUCUUGUUCAUUCAUUGCCCAUUCACUGAUCUCAAAUGUUUGCUGAUAAAUUCACUGUCCAUGAUCUAACAAGUCAACUUGUAUGUUUUUGCUUUGGUUACAGAAUCCUUCAACCAUAGUGCUUUGAGGUGAUUGUUUACAUAUGCACUUUGAGAGCUUAUAUUUUCGCAAUACGCAAGAAUUUUUCUAUCAUCGCGAAGCAUUCAUUUAACCUGUUUCAAUGGUAAUUUCAUUCACGGGUCAUAUAGGAAUAUGUUUUCCUCUUUAACCAUACUAGCAAACUUAUUUGGUCAGUUUUGUUAAUGAUUAUAAGGGUUGCAGUGAUUGCAUUUGGAAUACAUUCAGUACACUAAAACAUACAUAGUACGUGAAAAUGGAGUUAGAAUUUCUGUAAAAUCAGACUAGCCUUUGCAUUCUUAUUUUAUUUUCCUAGAUAUCGUCUCUAGUACAAAUUCAACCAUGCUCUUAGCAAUUAGGAAAAUAGUUCAGGUCCUGCUAAUGUAGGCAAUAAAUUAAUUUGAUUUGUCUAAAUUAUUAUUAAAAAAAUUUUAAUGAUACAUCAAGAACAAUACAAUUUAUAUUCAGUACAUCAAAGCAAUAUGAUAAAAUUUGAAAAAUUUUGGCUAGAUUGAUUUGUCUACAAAUUUUAUCUACAUUUAGUCUAACGGCAGCUCAAUCUCCUCCCACCUCAAGUGGGCAGAGUUGAAACGUCAAAUCUCUUUUUUUCAACUCGAGAUUUUACCAUCUCAACUAAAUGGCACCUACCUCUACAAAUCUUAUUUGUAAGGUAUUAUGUAUUUAUCAAUCGGCAAUGAGUACUUUGUCAUUGCUCAUUUGGAGCAGAGUUGAAUUAAUGAGAAUCCAUGAAUACUGCUCGAAGAUAUCUAAUGUGCCCUAGUAGUUUGGUCUACUCUUCAAACCACCCCUCCCCUUUUGCAUUAUUUUCCUUAUUUCUCAAAAAAAAAAAAUUCUCUCUUGGUAAUUAGUGAAUAACUUUCUCCCUACUGUUUGUGACAUCUUUUGCUUUAUCUUAUCCAGCUCUUUACCAUGAUAACUUUCUCCCCUGCCUUGUGAUCCUUCCAGUUUGCCAAAAGUAUCCUCCCACCAAAGAAUUUGAUGCAAAAAUACGGGAUGAAGAAGCCAGAAAGUGCAUAUUGUCACAAUUAAAGCAUGUUUUUCAGUAUCAGUAAAGAAAUUUUAUAGUUUCAGUUUGACUUUGUUGGAAAUAGUGCUUCAUAUCAAAAUUGAUUGCUUGCUGGAUUUGAUUAUUGGGUUAUGAUUACAUUUUAGUUGGGUAAUCGCAUAAUGAGAUCAUUGUUGGAAAUUUUUAUUUGUUUUAUUUUUUAUUUUCGGGGCUUUCAUUUGGUGGACAGCUCAAUGUGAUAUUUUUCUGUUCUUCCCAAUUCAUAUCAUGCUAGGUGAUAAAUAAUGUAUAUAUAUAUUUUUUAAAUCUUGUAGGCAAGGAGGAAGCAAGAGCCAGAGAGUGGACCUUGAAAGGAGAGGAACAAGAGAGUCCCAAGCCAUCCCAGCCCCUGAUGCUAAUGCUGAAUUGGUGUUGUCUAUGCAGGUAAUUAUUUUCUAUUGUUAAUGUCCUUUUGUACCGUCAUUCUUUCUCUUAUAACUUAUUGUCAAUGCAUGCCUUAAUUACCAUGGUGUAGUUCUAUGUCAUCUGAUCUUUAGGCUUUUGCUCACUCAUGUCAAAUUUACAUUUAUGAGGUGUAUGUAAAGAAAGUAACAAGAAAGUACUGCAAUUUAUUUCUUAAUUACAGUUUGGCAUGAAUUUUCUUUAUUACAUAAUUGCAGUCUUCCUGCAAUGGAGGUAUUAAGUAUGAAGAGCAACCACUAAACUGAAGAAAAAUGAAUGCAAGUAUACGAAAAGCAGAAGCUCAUUCCUGAAAUAUAAAGCUUAAAGCUAAUUUAAGGAAGCUAUAUUAUUUUCAAAUGUGACUGACUUAGCAAAUAACAUGAUCGGAGAGUUCUUUAGUCUGCACUUUUCCGGUACCUUUUAAGCCUUACUUUGCAGCUAGCCAGCAGUUACUGCCCGUUUUGGCCUAACCACCUUUUCUCCAUUUGGUUUCAUGCAAGACUAUCUCAUUAUCUCCCAAUACAUCCCAUGCAAAACCUUCCUGCUACGACCAAGGCUCAUUACUCCAUUUGUCUUCAUUUGACAAGCCUCCAAAUGUCAUUCUUGUCAGUUAACAAAUCUAUAACCACCUUUGCUUCAAUUUUCAACGGAGUUUUGAGAUAAUAACAUGAAAGAUGUAUGAUCUUUUUCCCCAAUCCAACAUUGCAUUUUAAGGGUUGAUUAUGGAUCUUCAUUUGGAUGAUGUCACUAUGCUGCAGUAUUAUACAAAAGCUGACAAUUUAGCACUGCAUCUGAAGUUUCGGUUGAAAGCAAUUUUGAUAUUUGUUAAUGGAACUAAUUGGAUUAGUUAUCUGUGACAAUAAUUGGCGAACAAUAUAUUUUUUGAGUGUGCGUCCGUUUGUCAAGCUUUUGCUGUUCAAUAGGAAUAGCCUGCUGCCCCAAGUUUAUACAGUUUUAAUAACUUUUCAAAUAUUAAGUGCUAUUUUUUUUAUAUGCCUUUACUUUAAUUUGAUGAACACACUAAUAUGACUCCUUUAUUAUUUCAGAAAAGAAAAAGUCAGUACAACUCUAAGAGCCGGAGUGAGAAGUUUAAUCCUCAUCCAGAAGAAGUUGCAUCUGGCUUCCCUAUUGAUCCACCUAGAGAAUCACAAGUGGCGGAAUCAAGCUCAGGUCCCCAGGGGCGUAAUAAUAAAAGAGCCUCCCAUUCAGGGCCACUGGCUUAGCGUGCUGCAUGGGCAAAGGCAGGAAAAAACACAGAUGAUGCCCCAAAGAUUUCAACUGGUGCUGACUUUUCAUCAGUUCUAGUGGCUGCAAGGAGGAGUUUACUAUCUGAGAUCAUAGAGAAAGGUCUGGUUCAGCUCAACCAGAAGUUCUGAAACGAAUUUUAAGGUUUCCAGGAUCCUUUAAAGAGGCCUCCGAAUCUUUUAUCAAGCAUUGUCAGAAGCAUCACUCUCAAGGUGUUGCAGGUUCUUAUCAUAAGGAAGAUGGAAGAAUUGGCAACAAAGAUCGAAAUCUUGUUAGUAUUUGCUGUGCCUUAUUUUCCAUCCUAUGUAUAGAUUUUCCAUCCUAUGUAUAGGUUUAGAGGUUUUCUGAAUAUUGUUUUCUUGACCAAUCUCUUGACUAAUAGGACGGAUCCUAUUUCUUAGGGAUUUGACUGCCUGCUUAUUAUCCACACUAUCUUGAUUGCCAGACGCCCUGACUCUAUUAUUAUUUGCAUUUUGGUCCACCUUGACUAUGGGUCAAGUCACAAAAUUCAUUACUCUGGCCCAUUGAUUGUCCUUUCAGGCAAUGUGUACCAGAUGCUUAAGGAUCAGGAUCUCCAGGUUCAAGAAGCUGUUAGACGAGGACAUGUUGACAAGGCAAAGGUCAGAAAAGUUGACAUGGAAGGAAACCAAUUGACAACAAAUUUAUUAUUUGUUUCUAGCUGUUACUCUGGCUCAAGUAACCCAAUGAGGCCCAGCCUUGUCAGGAAGAUCACUGCAGAAUAAUUUGGCUGGUGAUUUUCUCUCUUUUGAAAUAUAGUUUGUCAUUAGUCAGGGUUUUUGUAGAGGUGGUGUUUUUGAAAGAUGGCCAGUGCUCACAAUUAGCUAUGUUUAUAGCUUACUGAAAAAUCUCUUUGCAAUUCAUCACUUGUAUUUUUCUUUCCACUCGGCAACUGUAAUUUCUAAGUUAUGGGCCAUUCUUGUGGAGCUCACUAUUAUUUUGGAGAAACGACAGUAUCUUAUUAUGUGAUUAAUAGGAGGAAUGUGUUGGAUAUCCCUUGCUGAAGUUGCCAAGUAUCGUGUUGAUCCCUACGAGCCUUUAAGCUUGAUGCAUACUUUAUCAUGCUGACAAUUUUAGUUUUGGUAUUCUCUUGCCAUUCAAAACGUAUUUAAUUGUCUACCAGUCAACUUUGAUUUCUUCCCAUGCAGCCGCCAAGUUAGAAACUGGGGCAAAUGGGGCCUUAACUCUCUAGUUUGGGAUUUAAUGUUUGAAGAAAAUUUCAUGCUGACAAGUUUAGUUUUGGUAUUCUCUUGCCAUUCAAAACGUAUUUAAUUGUCUACCAGUCAACUUUGAUUUCUUCCCAUGCAGCCGCCAAGUUAGAAACUGGGGCAAAUGGGGCCUUAACUCUCUAGUUUGGGAUUUAAUGUUUGAAGAAAAUUUCGAUUUAUUGCUGCAGCAGCAGCUAUAUAUUGCCAGGCUGCUAGCCAACUUAGAAUUGCAGAGCUGUUUGGCUGAAAAUGAACUUCGUCAAACUGCUAGUGUUGUUUCUGACCAUAGGCUUGGUUCAGUCAACCGGUGCUUUGAAGUUUGCCUUCGAUGGCUUCAACACUUCAAAACUGUUGCUUUAUGGCAACGCAAAACUGGAUUCCGGUGCCAUUUCACUCACCCAAGAUACCACCUUCUCCAUCGGAAGAGCUCUCUAUCAUGCUAAGAUCCCCUUAAAACAUACAAACUCAUCAACCAUUAGAUCAUUUGAAACCUCUUUCACCUUCUCCAUCACCCCAUACAAUGGCCAGCGUCCAGGCCAUGGUCUGGUCUUCAUCUUCGUGCCUUCCGCAGGCAUCCAAGGCGCUGCUGCAUCUCAAUAUCUCGGCUUCCUGAAUAGAACAAAUGAUGGUAAUAGGAACAACAAUGUUUUUGGCAUCGAAUUCGACAUAGUUCAAAAUCAAGAAUUCUAUGAUAUCAACAAUAACCAUGUUGGUCUGAACGUGAAUUCUAUCAUUUCUGUGACUACUUACAAGGCUGGGUAUUGGUUUCAGGACAAUCAGAAUAAAACUAACUGGUGGCAUUUCCAUGCGUUGAAGCUGAACAAUGGCAAGAUUUAUCGGGUAUGGAUUGAUUACAAAGAUUCUUUUCUUGGUGUAAGUAUAGCUCCUGCAAAAAUGAAGAAGCCUUUGUGGCCAUUGUUGAACGUUUUUAUUGAUCUCUCAGACUUUUUUCUUGAUGAAAUGUAUGCCGGUUUCUGCGCCGCCACUGGGCAACUCAUUGGAAACCAUAAAAUCCUGAGUUGGAGCUUCUCUAACUAAUUUUCCUUUGAUCAUUUUCUUGAAAAUGUAUGUGAGAAUAAGAAUCCUUUUUGUUGGAUUAAAGCGAAUAUUAGAAUAAGCAUAAAUGGUUUACCAAGUGCACUUGUUCGUGUAGUAUUUACUUAUUCUUCACAAACUAAUCUAUAAGUGAGGGUCCUUUGUUUCAUUUCUUUUUUUUAACCCUAUUUUUUGCUUUUACAACUAUUCUUAUCCCAAUCUAAAAAUCAGAGAGAUAAGGCAGAUUCAAAAAAAUGUGGACAAGAUUGUAUGUUGAUUAUCUAAGCAACUUAUCAAUGAAACCAUUAUUGUCUCUAGUAAAAGUCAUGAGAAUGGUCCCUAGCUGUCUAUCGCUUAGUCAUAUAUCACAAUGAAAAGCAGUUAUGCAACUUCAUGUGCCCAUUGACUGACCUCAAAUGUUUGCUGAUAAAUUCACCGUCCAUGAUCUAAACAAGACUCACAUAUUUUACACAACACACUGGAUUGCUAAUCCAUUUUCACCAAACUAUCAACAUUAUGGCUUUAUCCGUUUGACUUUCUACUUAUUUUAGGACUCUCACAAUUUACUUUCACACCCACACAUGUUAGAAAUGAGAUGAAAUCUACAGCUAAGAGUUGAUAAAGAUUUAUAGAAUAAGACAUGACAUAAUUAAGAGCUCAAGAGACAAGCAUAAUACUUAGUCCCGGGUAUGUUGAUUUAGGGUUUAGCUAGAUUAUAUUGUUAACAUUAUAUAUUAAACGUUUUCUUACACUCAAUCUAGAUCUACAAGGCUGUAUAUUUGUUUUAAUUAUUCUGGGGGACUUUUGCUUUUUAAUUAGAAAGCUUUUUAAAAGUCUAUUUGUGUAGAACACUUGUUACUGUAUCAAUUAGGAGAAUUGACAAUGAUAGUGGGGGCAAUCAAAAUGAGCAUAAAAAAUUGGGAAAUUUUUAACUUACCCCCAAAUAAAUUGACAUUUUGCACCGCGCACCUAAAAAAAUUGACGUGUUGCACCGCGCCCCCAAUUCCGUUAAUUUUUCAGUUAUUUCUAACCGCUCCGUCUAACUUUUAAUUGAAUGACAAAAAAUGCCCCUCUAUAUGAAAAAAACCAAAAUUUUUAGCUCAUUUAAUUUUUUUAAGACUUUUUUUUUCAAUUGCAAUAAAAAAAUUUCUUGUUACAUGUACAUUGUCACCACUAUUAUUUUUCCUUUAAUUUUUUAAAGGUUUUUAUUUCAAUUGCAAUAAAGAGAAUUCCCAUUAAAAUUAAUUUAAUAAAUGAACUUCCAAUUUUACUCCUCCACCGUUAAACUUAACUGAGAAAAUAACGAAAUUGGGGGCGCGGUGCAACAAGUCAAAUUUGUUGGGGACGCGGUGUAAAAUGUCAAUUUAUUUGGGGGUAGGUUAAAAAUUUCCCUAAAAAAUCUUUUUAAUAUUAGUGAGAGUCAAUUUUCUUGACUUAUGUUUGAUAAAUUUCGUAUUGUAAUAUAUAAGUAGAUUUUAAUAAUAAAAAAAAUAAGACAAUGUUCAAAGUACAGAUGCAUUUCAUUUCCAUUCUACAAUUCUGCAAUGACGUAUUAUCAAAAUCAAAAUUAAUAGGUGGGAAGGGAAACAAAUGGUGCAGUUGCUCAAAUGUGUGGCCCUAAGUUGUUUGAAUCAUGUGACUAGAAAUUGAGACAAACCGUGGAACCCUUUUGAACGUUCCAUCUUUGCUCCAAAUGUUAGAUUUCUUUCAUAAAUGCUUGGGGGGCCUAUUUUACACAUUGCUUGCUUCAUUUAUUUUGAAAAAUUUAAUUUCAUGCCCAAAAGUUUUUAUGUAUUUGUUCUUUCUUUGUUUACUUCUAGAUUCCUCACAACUGCCCAUAUACAAAUAUUAAUAAAUUAAUAAUCAUUGCAAUGGAAAUUUUGAGUAAUUUAGCUGACUCACAGCUUCUGUUCAAUCAAUUGACAAUUAAACACUAUUCACUUUUGAAUUUACAUGAUGAAAGUUCACUUUUUUCAAAUAAAAAAUAUCGCUUUCUUUCCCUAAUGAAUUGACGAGCCAGGUUUGAGAAGAUUUCCUCCAAACCCAAAAAAGGCUGAACUGGGUACUCUUGUUUGUUAAUACCUGUUCAUGAUUCAUCACAAAGAUCAAAUCUUGAAGAUGAUUCCAAGGUGGGUUCCCAUCAUCUGUGCGUCUUGAAAUCAAUCUUUGUAAGAAAAAAAUUAAGUUCUUGUUGCCUUUAUAUUCUCUUCUUUGUUUCCUUUUAAGUUGUUUAUAUUCCUUUUCAACAAAAAAAAAGUUGUUCAUAUUCAGUUCAUCAUCAUAAAUUUAAUUUAAUAAUAUUCUUUCACUGAAUCUUUUGUCAUUAGCUAACUUAAUCAUUUUCUUAAACACACGUUAAUUAUUUUAAUAAUCACCCCAAGAAUUUUUUUUUUUAAUUCGUAGUGGUAGCUAUUUUAAUAUUUUUAUUAGUCCAACUGAUAUCAUAUUUUUUACAUUUUGCAUUUCGUGGCCCACAGCUUUUCCUAAUUUAUGUUUUUUGCCAAUUCCCAGGAAACUACCUACAGGUUGUAAUUGUGCCACGUUGCUCAUUUGGAAUAAAGCGGGAAGAUAACGAAGAGGUGCUAAAGAAGUGGCUUAUGUUUCAAAAAGAAAUGUUAAAUAAUGAGUUGCUGUUUUACAAUCAAGAUACUGUUUUUUUUAUUCAACGGACGGUUGGGUUUCUUUAUGGGUAAUUUUUUCGUUUUUGUUUUAUUGUUGGAUUUUAUUAUGAGGCUGUGAAGCUUUUGGUGUGUAGAGUGUAAACUAAAAAACCUGUUAGUAAUUUUGGCUGUGUGGUUAUGUUUCUAGGUUGCCUUAGCAAGAUCACAUGAUCCUAAGAACACAAUUAAAGAUCCUUUCUUCUUUCUGCUGGUAUUUUUCUCUCUCCUUCUUUAGAACCUAUCUUAGUAUUAUUUUAUUAUGUUGAUGGGAUUUUGAUGGUGGUGAUGCUUUUGAUGUUUGGUUUUGAAAAUUGCAUGCAAGUGUUGGAGGCUAUUUACUUGUUGGGGUUUUUGUUAACUUUUCUGUGAUUGGUGGUGCUUUUACUGUUUUGCAUGUUGUAGCUGCAAACCUCAUGUUGUUUGCUGUUGCUGUUGUCUCCCUUUUUUUUUGAAAUAAUAAUAAUAAUAAUAAGACACUCAAAUCUCAUGUUGUUUGCUCCUGUGUGUAACCAGCAGGAUUCUAUUUUUCUGUUCGUGAAGCCGAUAAUUUUCCCUCGAUGAGAAGUUAUGGUGUUUUCAUUUGUGUUUUUGGAAUGACUUCUUGAGAUAAAGUGGUGAUGGUGGAAGUGAGGGAGUGCGGUCAAAGCCAGAGAUUUCCUCCAUUUUCUGGAUGUGCGUGUUCUGGUCUUCAUGCAGCACUAGGCGGAUAAUAAUGGAAGGUUCUUCUGAUUCUGCUUGGCAAGAUUCCGAUAGUUCUAGGGCAUUGAAUAUUUCUGGUGUCUCUGACAGGAACCCUAGACUUCUUCGCGCUGAAAGAUUCGGGGUUCGUGGUGAUGAUUCAAAUGAUUUUGAGUUGAGAAAGCAUAGUGACGGGGUUGAGCUGACUCAUGGUGAUCACCUUAGAAACCAAGGAGGUUUAUCUGGGGUUUGUGAGAAUGAGGCAGCAGUUGACCCUUUUGUUCAUGCCAUAGAAUGGGGCGAUGUUAGCUUGAGGCAGUGGUUGGAUAAGCCAAAACGUUCUGUAGAUGUCUAUGAAUGCUUGCACAUAUUUAGGCAAAUAGUGGAGAUUGUAUAUGCAGCACAUUCACAAGGAAUUGUUGUUCAUAAUGUUCGGCCAUCUUGCUUUGUCAUGUCCUCAUUUAACCAUGUUUCCUUUAUUGAAUCUGCCUCUUGUUCGGAUUCUGGGUCUGAUUCUCAUGAAGAAGGAUUAAAUACCCAAAACAUGGAGACUAAGGAUUUAUCUUCUCCCUUGCCCCUUGACAUGCUUCAGCGGAGAACUAGGUUGAGAAGGGAAGAUCUCCAACUAGUGACAGCUCCAACAAAUGAUUUAUCAGAAGCUAGUUGUAUGCAAUCAAGCUCAGCUUAUGGAACACAUGCCAUGUUGGUAGAAGGGAUGCAAGAACAUAAAAUUUUAGAUAAUAGAGUGAAUGUCGAACAAGUUGAAGAAAAGAAGCAGCCAUUUCCAAUGAAACAGAUAUUGCUAAUGGAGACAAACUGGUAUGCCAGUCCUGAAGAAUUAGCUGGUGCUCCCGUCUCCUGUGCUUCAGACAUUUAUCGACUGGGCGUUCUACUUUUUGAGGUUUGUAACUUUAUGCAACAAUUCAUUGAUUCAUCAUAACUUGAGUUGGGUUUUCUUUGUUAUAUUCUUGAAGUAUCUUGUUUUCCUUACUAUUCAUGAAGCUGCAUCAUUCCCCCCCCCCCCCCCCCCCACCCCCCCAAAAAAAAACUGUAUGCUUGGUUGUCUUAGUGCACUGAUAGAUCUAUUCUGUUUUCCUAAUAGUUAUUCUGCCCGUUUAGCACUGGAGAAGAGAAGACCAGAACUAUGUCUAGUUUGAGACAUCGAGUUCUUCCUCCUCAAUUGCUGCUGAAGUUUCCCAAGGAAGCUUCUUUUUGCUUAUGGUUGCUGCACCCCGAGCCUAGUGGUCGUCCAAAGAUGGGGUGAUUCCUCCUAACAACACACCUCUAUAAUUUCUAGCUUUUAUCUUCAUUGGAUCCAUUGUCUGGCAUGUCUAUUUUUAUCUUCGUUGCAUUCAUUGCCCAACAUAUCUAUCUUUUUGAAAUUUAGUUCUGCCACCUAUCACCCUCGUUUGGCAUUCAUUACAUUGCUUUAUAGUUUGAACCAUUUCUUAAAGAAUAGUGCUUUACAUCUCUAUAUUUUCCAUUUAAGAAUUUUGUUUUCCAUACCUAUCUAACCACAAAUGAUCACUGUAUCAAAUGAGAAAGUCUUAGGGUGGCAAUGUGAAAAUGGUCCAAAUCACAAAAGUAAAUUUUGUUUUAACUUAGAAUACAAAAAUCAAAUAUGUGAUGAUUUACAUUUAAACAUCUUUCUAUUUUAGUUACAUGACAUCAACAGUUUUUUCGACUGCUGUGCAAAUGACUUGGUAUGCGAGUGAAGGAAUCCUGGAACACACCAACUGAUCAGUCAUAAUUGGUUGAUGUUGAUUUAUUUGUAUUUCCGGUGUGAUUGAUUAAUUCUGUUUCCGCAUUGAAUUCUUUUCUCCUUGAAGUAGUAUUAAAUUACAAGAUCUUUGUCCACAUUAUCUUCACGUGUGAUGAUAUUGCACUUAAGAAUACCCUGUUACUUUCAGUCAUGGCAAACUUACAUUUUUGUGCCGUGCAUACCAGUGAGUUGUUACAGAGCGAGUUUCUUAACGAACCAAGAGAUAGUAUGGAAGAGCGUGAAGCGGCAAUAGAACUCAGGGAGCAAAUAGAUGAGGAGGAGUUGCUGCUGGAGUUCCUGUUGCUGGUACAACAAAGAAAACAGGAAUCUGCUAAAAAGUUGCAGGACAUUGUUUCUUUUAUAUGUUCAGAUAUUGAAGAAGUAUCAAAGCAGCAAGCAAUUCUUAGGAAAAAAGGAGGCUUAGGUUCAUUUGCAGAGUUGGCGAAUGAUGAUCUCUCUGGUUUAAACAUCCCUUCUUUAAAUAUUGUUGAUAACGAUUGUUCUGCUACCAUGGGUUCGAGAAAACGAUUUAGACCGGAACUUCAGCUCCAUGACUUAGAGGAAUGUGAUGAUAAUCUUGAUGACAGUCAGAAACACAACCUCACUGGAAAUGAAGAAAGCAGUCUUUUUAAAAGCUCUCGAUUGAUGAAGAACUUCAAAAAGUUGGAGUCAGCAUAUUUUUUGACAAGAUGUAGACCAGUCAAGCCAUCAGGGAGACCACUGGUUAGACAUUCUCAAUUAAGUAGUGAUGGUAGAACAUCUAAACCACUUGUAAAUGAAAGAAGUUCCAUAAACAAUUUAGGAUCAAAAGAGGGGUAUAGUGAAGGUCGAAGAAGUGGAUGGAUAAAUCCAUUUCUUGAGGGUUUGUGCAAGUAUCUGUCUUUCAGUAAGUUGAGGGUCAAGGCAGACCUGAACCAAGGAGAUUUAUUAAACUCUUCCAACCUAGUAUGCUCUCUCAGCUUUGAUCGUGAUGGAGAAUUAUUUGCUGCUGCUGGUGUAAAUAAGAAGAUUAAAGUAUUUGAAUGUGAUGCAAUCAUAAAUGAAAAUCGUGAUAUCCACUAUCCGGUGGUGGAAAUGGCUAGUAGGUCAAAACUAAGCAGUAUAUGUUGGAACAGUUAUAUCAAAAGCCAGAUUGCUUCAAGUAACUUUGAAGGUGUGGUGCAGGUAGGUCAAGUCUUACAUUUCAUUUACUUUUCAGCUUUAUACUGCAUUAUUUUAAACAAGUUACUCAUUAUUUUCAGGUAUGGGAUGUUUCAAGAAGUCAAGUACUUACAGAAAUGAGAGAGCACGAGAGGCGUGUUUGGUCCAUUGACUUUUCAUCAGCAGAUCCAACAUUGCUGGCUAGUGGGAGCGAUGAUGGUUCCGUUAAGCUAUGGAGUAUCAAUCAGGCAAUUCUACUUUUGCACUUGGUGGAUGUCAGCUUUGAAACUAAACGUACUACAGUCAUCUAAUUUCUUACCACAUAUAUUUAAUUCUGGAUGUGUAAUAAGGUUUUCCUCUUACAUGGGUUGCUACUGCAGGGCGUAAGUAUCGGUACCAUCAAAACAAAGGCCAAUGUUUGCUGUGUUCAGUUUCCCUUGGAUUCUGGUCGUUCCCUUGCAUUUGGUUCAGCAGAUCAUAGAAUUUAUUACUAUGAUCUCCGUAAUUCAAAAAUUCCCCUGUGCACAUUGAUUGGACACAACAAAACUGUGAGUUAUGUCAAGUUUGUAGACGCAACUACUCUUGUUUCUGCAUCCACAGAUAACACACUGAAGCUUUGGGAUUUGUCAAUGUGCACGUCUCGGGUUAUUGAUACUCCACUUCAUUCAUUCACAGGUCACACAAAUGUAAAGGUACAUUUACUUUUUGCUGAUUGUUUUAAUGCGUAAAAUUGAACUUUAUUAAUGAAGUUUAUUUAGUGUAAAUAUUUAUUUGUCUUUACAUUGUAUUGAUGUAUUUCUUUUAAACUGGGAGUAUUACUAAGUUGUUAAUUUAUUUUUUAUUUUUUCUUUAAGGAGAAAAUAAGAAUUUGUUGAACAUAAAAGAACAUAAACCAGUCAAAUGAUGGUAAAAACAUAUGUGCUUGGUUGGAAAUGCCUGAAUGCCUUCAAGAUGGACAUGGAUUUGGAGAGAAUGGUUAUCAUGCAAUCAUUGAAGGGUUUAAUCUCAUUCUUUAAUGCUUAAAGAUAAAUUUUUGAUACCUGUCACUGGGCAUUUAGUUAUUGAAAAUAGCUUCAAAAUAGGCUUAUAGAAGGAAGAAUGAUUUUCAUAUGUUAUAAUUCGAUCUUUUCCUUGUACUUUGGAAUUUUUGCCCUGCGGCAGGGUUCACUCCCCUUUGUAAAUGACUUCCUUCUACUUCCUCAUAAUUACAUAAUGAACCAUCUUUAUGAUAAAUUUGUUGUGUCGGAUUAGGUGAUUAAUCCAUGUGACAUUUAUCCUAACCCAACGUUCAUGUAUUAACUGCUAGUGGAAAAGGAAACUAUAGUUGAGUACUUUUUGAUGAUAUGCAUGUUCUUUCUGUUGCAGAACUUUGUCGGUUUGUCAGUAUGGGAUGGUUACGUAGCUACAGGCUCAGAAACUAAUGAGGUAUGUCUGUAUCAUCUCAGUUGUCCACUUAACAUACAUCCUCUGGAGCGGUAGUUGCGGCUGAUUUGAGAUAACAAUUUGUUAGGCUCAGAAACUUGUUUUGCAAAAUCUGUGGGAUAAGUAGUAGAAUUCACAAAUUGAUGUGGAGUUGAACUAAUCAAAACAUCAGUUCCCUAUAUGCUUCCCACUUUUUGUGUCAGCUGAUUUCAUUCAAAUAUUGAUGUUAAAUAUUCUCCUUGGAACAGGUUUUUGUGUAUCACAAAGCCUUCCCCAUGCCAGCUUUAUCAUUCAACUUUAACCAUGCGGACCCGUUGUCUGGCCCCGAAACGGAUGAUGCUGCGCAGUUUAUCUCAUCUGUCUGUUGGCGUGGCCAGUCCUCCAACACUUUAGUUGCUGCAAAUUCCUCUGGGAAUAUAAAAAUUUUGGAGAUGGUUUAAUUUUACCUGUGUUAUCCAAAUUAUUCUUGAUUUUAGCAAGGAUAAUAGAAGAUAUUGGUAUUGGGUCAUGAAAACGGAAUGAGGACAGAGUCUGAAACCGAAGAAGAUUUGUUUGGCUAAUGAUAUAGGUUUACGGGUAUAGGGAUCGCAACAAAACAAUUUUUUUGUACUAGUUAAAUAGCGGAUGCAAACAAUGAAAAGAGAAAAUGAUCUUGAUCAAGAUGUAUGUAGAUAUUACUUACUGCGAAUGAGGGGGGCGGAAAAAAAAUAAUAAAAGAAGUUAAAUCACUUAUACUGUAUAUCGUGUAACAUGCAUUUCAUGCUAAGCUUGAAGUGAAAACACUUGCCGUUAUGGAAAUAUCUAUCAUUAGUGUCUUUGAUGAAAAUUCCAUCAGUCUAGUUUGAGAAGAUUCAACGAGUCUAUUUCAAGUUAGGUUAGGUUUCCAUGAUAAAAACUUAUAUGAUGGCAAGUCUGGGUGCGAGCUUUUGAUGUUAUAUUUUGUAGUUAAUGGAAACAUGGACGAGGAAUCUGCAGCUGCAAGCCUGCAAGUAAAGUUUUUGAUUUCUGGGUCAGUUUUUAGUAAUGGCUAGGGUCAAUGAUUACUGGAUUGGAUAAAUAAGCUAGUGGAUAAUAUAGAUGAGCCAAAGUGAAUUAGAAAUCUCCAUCAGGCAGCAACUUAUGUAGCUCUUUGCUAGGCAAUAAGCAGACUGCGACUAUUAUCCAUUUGAUGCAUUGAUAGGUCGGAUUGAAUAAAAUGUGAAAUUGUUACACGCAGUAGUUUAUGAAGAAUAAUAGUAUCUUUUAUAAGUAAUAUUUUUUGACACUUAAUAGUGGUAUGAAUAAUAGGGAUAUAAUGAUUUUAUUAUCAAAGUUAUUCUGGCAUAUCAUGUCAGUAUCAUAAUUUACCGAAAAAUAUAUUUUACUAUCAAAUGUUUGCGUUGUUAUCAAUUCACUACCAUUCCAUUAAUAACAAUAAAAAUUUGCAGUUAUCUUGCUGAUGUCAUAAGGGCAUCAAAGACAUUUUCAGUUAUAAGGGCAUCAAAGACAUUUUCAAUUAUAAGGGCAUCAAAGACAUUUCGGGUUGAAACCUAAAUGCUGCGUUUUAGGGAAAUAAUUAAAGAUUAAAGAACUAGGAAAUUAAAUCCUAAAAUCGAUCCCUCUCUCUCAUUGUGAAACCUCCAUCUCUGAUCCGUCCCUCUCCCUCGCUAUUGACUCACCGCUAUCUCCACUACCGUUUGCUCUCUCUACUGUGAGUUGUUGACUUCUUUUUUAUUAGCUUAUUGUUCAUUAAUUUUUUUCCUUAAUUAAAUUGUUAUUGUUUUUAGUUGUGAUUAAUACUUGAAUUACAAAGGAUAAAAUUGUCUUUGAUACUCUUGGGGUAAAAUCGACUUUUAACUCAAUUUAUGUUGAACAUUAAUGUUUUGUUAAUGGAAUAAUAGUGAAUUGAUAACGAUGCAAAAAUUUGGAAAGAAAAUAUACUUUUUAAUAAAUAAAAUAUUGACAUAAAAUAUGUCAUAAUAAUUUUGUUAGUAAAAUGAUAAUAUUCAUACAAAAUAUAACUAUAGCGAUCAAUAGCGGUGAGGAAAAAAUAACAAUUUGUACUAUAGUCUUGUCAGUAGCACAAUACUAAUGGGAAAAAAAAAACAAAAAUGAUUAAACAAAAAGGAAGAUGACCAAUUGACUAUCGGAAAAUGAUGUUUGCCCCGGGUCAAACCCCGAACUAAACGCACCGUUUUAUUAAGUUUAAAACGCACCGUUUGCCUUCUGCCAAAAACGCACCGUUAAAUUGGUUCUCAAAUCUCAAGAACAAGUUGAGGAGCAAUUAUUGCUCUUGCUCUUCUUGUUGGUCCUGCAGUUGUGGGGAACAGAGAGUUGGGGUGAAGGCUUUAGUAGUGACUGUUGUGGGUGUGAGAGCUAGAGAGGAGAAAUUGUGAGAGAAGAAGAGCCGACGGGUGGGGAUAGAAGUGAGGUGGGGUUUACGGAGUUGGCAUUUUGAGAGGAUUGUGGAGGUUGUGGAUAUGCAGAGGGGUCUCAACAAGAAACCCAUUGUUGUCGCCAUCGUCACUGCAGCGGUGCUGUGCUGGCUAAGAUUUUUGACAAAUAAAAUCUUAAUGACAAAUAUAUUAGUUUGAAAGUCUCUGCAUGACGGUGCAUAACUGCAAUGCUUCGACCUUCUUCAUCUAAUUCAUAACCCAAAUCAGGAUAAGAGCGAAUGAGCACAGCCAAGAAUUUGAAAUUCCUCGAGUGAGCUGCAUCGAAUAAUAAAUUUGAAGGUUUGCUGAUAAGUUUCAAGACAUCCUCGUGUGUGCUUUCUGAUAUUUCUUCCCAAAGACAUUUGACUAAUUCAAGUGCUUGAGAUAAAGAGUCUGUACUGUUGAUGAUGAACUUCAUUCCUGGAACUAAAAGACACAAAAUUAUUGUUUUUUUAAUUUUUAUUGUUUUUGUUUAUUGAAUUAAAGCAUCAAGUUUCUGUCUUGCCUCAUUCAUGUUUUCUUUGCUUCUAUCUUAUUGGAUGAAGUUAAAGCCAAAAAUUAGUCCUCAAAACGGCAUCGUUGCGUUGAAGAAAGGAGCUCCAUCUGUCUUAACAAAAAUUGAUCCUUAAAACGGUGUCGUUUUUUCAAGUUCGGGGUUUGACCCGGGGCAAACAUCAGCACAGCACUCAUUGACUAUCUCUUGGCAAGUUUUGAUUUGUUGGUUAUAUAUUCUACAAUUAGGUGACAUCAUACAACCCUCCCUACUUGUCAUCUGCAGUGAAGCUGCCUCUUAUCCUUUUCAACAUUUUUUAUUCCUUGCGAAAUGUUGAAAAUUGGGAGGAUGUUCAAACAAUGGACAAUUUUCAAACAACAACCAAGUAUUUAAUUGUGAAUUCAGCAAUAGUGGAAGAGACUUUUCAAGUUAUGGUCAUAUGACCAUUGAUGUUUAGUCUAAUAUUAUUAUUUGAGUGUUCGAUCAUGCCAAUACUCAAUUGUAGACAACUCUUAUCUCUCAGCCAAAAAUGAGCGAAUCCAGAGUUAAGAGGAAGAAUAAAAAUUAAUAUUAAAAAGAAGAAAAGAAGAAGAGGAUGCAAAAAGAGAGUUUAUGGCCAAGCCAACAAUGGAAAGAAAACAUUUUCAAACCAAAAUCAUCUUUCUUUCUAUUAAACAAACAAAUAGUAUCAGUCCUUUCACACCUACCAAACCUUUUUUACUUUGGAAGAUAGAUAAAUAAUUAUUGUGCAUUGAUGAUAUAUAACGUCCAUGUAUAUAUAAAUUGCUAUGAGCCUAUGAGGCAUAAGACAGAACAGAUUCUUUUUGUGCAUUUUUGCAAGCUAAACAUCCAACCAACCGCUACCUGAAAUUUACAAAUUGAAAAUUCAUGAGCUAAUAGAAAUGUAAUGCACCUCAAAUUAUUAUAAAGCUGAAAAAUGGAAUAUUCAGCAACAAGGAUCGGUGGGAAAAAUAUAAAAUACUGCAGAAUGCUUCUGAGCUACAUUAAGUGUGAAGGUCUCUGUGAAAUGCCUACAGAAAGAAGGAUGAUCAAGCACCUUCUUAGAUCCCAACCAUGAAUGUCGCAAUAUGCUUUGCUUCUAAUGAUUCUAACAUGCUUCAAGUCUAACAAAACUGAGGCCGUAAAUCCAGCUCUACCAUCAAAGAAUCUCCCCUCGAUGCACUUUUCUAAGAUUGGGGCCAACUUCUGGGUAGAACGUUUGUUUUUUGUUUCUUUAACUAUCUUUUGUUUUGAAAUCAAUUCCCCCACAGCAAGAAAAUAUAACGCAAACUAUGUACACUGGUUCAGUCCACGUUUAGCUUCCAUAGUCAGCCUAGCUACUAAGCGGCGAAGCCUUUCAGCUCCAGGACCCGGCUUGAUCUUGUUCGGAUCCCCAACCUUGGAACAAUGUGGAUCACCUGAGCACCAAGCACCAGGGGUGAAACUCCCAUUUUUCCGACCAAGUAACUCCUUAUCAAUCUUGUCCAAAACAAGGGCAUUUUGUCUGAAUUUACGAGCAAAAGCAGCACUGCUUGAAAUCAUCUCACUUGUAUCAUUAAGUGAAAGAAUGUGUGGGUGCUGUCCGGGGGGAUUGUCCCAAGAGAUGUAGUGCAGGUCAUGAUUGACAACACUUGGAACAAACUCCGGCACAUUACAUAUGACAGUCUGAAAGUACGAUUCAGGCGAGGAGACAAAGUUUGUAUAGUACAUAAGCAGCGUUCUCGGUAGAUUAUCCCAACCCCAAAUGCAGUACUCAACGAAUGAACGAGAGAGCACCAUCCAUGCUGAGCCUGCAAAAGAACUUGAUGUUAUUGAAUGAUACAACAUGAAAUUCACAACAUACCCUCCCAUUUGGCAAUGCACAUACAGGGAAUUUCUUUCUCGUAAUAGUGGUUGUAUAAUGACAAAACAAGUUCAGAACAGCAGAUGGUAAGUACUGCUCUAAAGUUUAAGCUUUUAAUUCAAUGCUGGAAAGAGACUAAAUCUUUUGACUUUUGUACCUUAGAUCUCACAUAUUUAAGUUACGCGUGAUUCAAAUCUAGCCAAAUCAAAACUUAGGAACUUGCUUAUUUGGCAGCACAACAGCUGCAAUAGAACUCCCUUUAUAAGUACCACACAUCCACUCAAACAUACAUUUUGGAUUUGGGUAAAAGGACCAAAAAUUAAACACCCGGGUUCAUAAUACCUAUACACAUAUGUUAGUGAAAUACUAAGAGCAAAGCUAACUGCUUAAAUCAUUUGAAACAAAAUUAUCAAACUUUCAAAUUAGUGUGCAGAGCAAGUUACAUUUAACUAAGCAAAUUCUAUUUCUAAAUAAGGACCUGCAAAUUCUGGAAGCCAGUAAAGGUUAUUUAACUGAGCAAAUGGAAACAGCUUCCACAAAGACAACUCGAAACAUUUACCAAUUCCCAGAUUAGUCAGACCCCAACAUAUUUGAUGGAAGGAUACGGGCUUCUUUACAUUUUCCAUCUUUUUUCAUUAAAGAAUACAAAAUUUCAUCAUUUCUUCUGUUUUCCAUCAUUGCAAAUUUAAUAAUUUCUACAAAACGUAAACAUGUUCGCAAUCCUAACUUCUGACAGCGUGAAUGACCAAAAAAAUUAGGUAAUGGAGAAAAACUAACCAGUAAAUAAUUUAAAUGCCGUUGGCAAAGUUCUCCGCGGUGUGACCCAGAAUAUAUCUGACUUAGUCAACAUAUAGAGUCCAGGAUCAACCAUCAAAGGCAUUGCUCGUUUUUCCCUGCAGACCAAAUAAUCAGAUUAGCAUCACUUAAAAUAUAGAAAUCCUGAAAGGAUAUGUUCAAAGAGAAAGGAAAGAACCUACUCCUUCCAACCAAGAUGGCUUGUAUGCUCAAUGAAAUUAAGUUUCCGGCUUAGGCCCGAAAAUGUGUAAAGAAGAUCUGCAAAUUAAAACGGCAAUUAAUUAACUAAAUAUAAUAAAAAAGGAAAUAAAAUGAUAAAGAAAUAUACAAGUAGAAAAAAGCAGUCUUACCAUCUUGAGUCACAAGAGGAUAAUCUGAAGCACUAAGGUUAAUAAACCAAUCCCAAUCCUUGCUAUUCUUAAGAAGAAUAGCACAAGCAUGAAGCGUAUUAGCAACCAUGGUGGGUCCUCUAUAAGUAACCAUAUUAGCCUUGGUGCUCAUGUAAACAUUUCCAACCUUGGAGAACAUGGGAUCUUUCUCCACCCGUGACGCAAGCUCCAAUCUUUCCUCUGUGGGCGCUUCAAGGUCCAAAUGAAGAACAUAUCGGUUCCUCGGAUGAUACAGCGCUUGAAGAGUCCUCCAAAGUUUCUCCAAAUCACCUUUUGACCCAGAAACCAAAUAAGCAAAUCGAGGAAUUUUGGGACCAGAAGGAGCGGGUUCGGAUUGUUUAACCUUCAUUUCGGCAUAAUUUGGGGCUGUAUGAUUUGAUGAAGGGAAAAUCGAGAAGAUUGCAUUGAUAGUGUGUAAUGAAGAGAUAAGACCCAUGUUGAAGGAUGUCGCAAGAAGGAACACGCAUAUUAGAGAGCUAAUAACUAAAGGAAACACCCACUUCUUCUCCAUAUUCAAGGAUCCAAAAACAAAACUUUUAUCACUGGUUCCGGCUAACGAAACUCAUAUCCCGACUUUGCUCAAUCCCAAAACUCAAACACAAACCUUAUAUGCAGGUAUCGAAAAACAAAAAUACAGUUUAUAGGCAGAUCAAUACCUCCUCCCUCAGAAUUCCAAAUUACACUUCAAAAUAUAUCUGUCAGAUCAGCAUUCAACAAGAAAAUCAGUAUACAAAACCAGGGCCAAUCAUGUUAAUUGCCAAAACACAAAGAAACUGAAGCUUGGCAAAACAUCUGACUUUGUUGAUCUGAGCAAGAAGCAUCAAAACCGGCGAUAAUGAAUUAAAUACACAUUAAAGUAUAAUGUUAUAUGCAUAUUUAAAUACAUUUAAAGAUGUGUGGACUUGUAAGGAAAGGAAGAGGGUUAUUAAAUAUUUUAAACAUACCAUACAAGAAAACGAAAAAUGAUGCAUUUGGAAAAUCAAACAAGGGAUCAAGGAAAGAAUAUAAAAUUAUUAUUUUUCAUUAUUUUAUUACCAAAUUAGCCAGCAAGUCACAUGUGUCGGCCUUUAAAAUUCCAUUUGUUUAGACAAUCCCAAAUCUUGGAAUGAAUCCGAUUACUCAUUCUUAAUCAUAUAGAUCACAAACCCUUAAAUGAGCAUAAACCAGCUACCAGUAGGCAACCAAAAACAAACAAACCCAGAUCCCAGAAUCAAGCUCAGAUCAUAAACCAAAUAAACCCAUUUGAUAAUCUCUCAAACCAACCAAAGAUCAAAACUUUACAUGAAAAAGAAUCAGACCUUUUCUUCAUAAGUAGCAAUCUUUGUGCCCGUUCAAGAGGGAAAAAGAUUAUGAAUUGACACUUUAAAGAAAUAAGAUUUGCGUGUGUCAGUAUGCGCGUUAUAAAUAAAAUAAAUCCUGUUAAACUGGAGGUAUUAUUAGCUUUGUGGAAUAAACUAAAAGAUAUAGCAAAAAUUUGAUUAAGAAAAAAAAAAAAAAAAAGAGACAAAACACGGGGUGGGUAAAUGCCUAAAUGGGUUUAAUUUGUGACGAGCCUCCAGUUUAGGAAUGAUCAGACACGGCAACUUCGUCUAAAAUUUUGUCUAACUAUUAUUUAGAUUUUGCAACAGAAGAAUAGAUUCCUUAUUUUCUAUAUUUGUAACUGUUGGGUCUCCUUAAUUUUAAUUUUAAUUUUAAUUUUAAUUUUUUUACCUAUUUAGCCUAUUUUUGUUUCAUCGUAUUAUUAUGGUAUGUGAUUAGCGUGAUGCCGGUUUAUAGUCGUUGGUUUGGGAGGGUUUUUGACUUUUGGGUGGUCCAACGGUUGUGAUUUAGUUGAUUUGUAAGGUAGUGGUGGGUGAUUAUUAUUAUUUUUUUUAAUUUUCUUUGGGUGUCGUUUGUGUGGUUGAGGGUCCAGGAUUCUUACAUGAUCCCAGGGUUAUCUUACCUUUCAUUUCAAGGCUGAUAAUGAUAUCCAGGGCAAAUGCAAUGCAACACAAGGGUGACACAAGCCGGCACUCUCGUCUGAAUAUUAAUAUUACUCCUUGAAUAAUAUUAUAUUAGAUAUUACAUUGUGAUUUCUUUUUAUUAACCUUAUGUGUCGAUCCUACUUAAAUCUCUAUUGUUAUUGUAAGAGUCUUAAGUAAAACAAAUAAAUGUGUCACAUAUAGCUAAGAUAAUUUGGAUGUAUACGAGCAAUAAUAAAAUGAGUGUUACAAGAUCCUCCAAGAGUCGAUGAUAACAAAGUAUCUAGAUAAUUGUGAUAAUUAAAGUAUAGGUAAAUUUUAAAUUAUGCUGCUUAUGAAUUGACUAUUUUUAAAUGGUAAAUGUCCGUUUAACAUUUAUAUUUUGAGUUAAGUGUUCAUUUAUUUCUUAUAUUUUGAAAAAAGCCUUACGACACUCUGUUAAAUGGAAGCUACGGUGCCGCGGGUGCACGGUACACUCAUGUCCCUUUUUUUCUUUUUAAUUUACUUUUAUAAUUAUACCCUUGCAACAAUAUUUUUCAGGAUAUUAAUUAAUUUUCUAUAAAAAAAAGUUAAUAAAAAAUUAACCCCAAAAGUAAAAUAAAAAUAAAUGUAAAAUUCUUUGUUAUUAUUUUACUUUUAGAAUUAAUUUGGUAAAUUAAUUUUUUAUAAAUUAUUAUUAACAAGAUUAUUACAAAUUUAUCAAGCAUUGCUUUAAAAUUGUAGUAAGGGUAUUAUUAUAAAAUAAAGAAAAUAUAUCAUAUUCAACAGUAAUAGUAUUUUUGAGGUAUUUUUUAAAAUUUAAGAAUCAAAAGUGUACUUAAUAUAAAAUAUAAAGAAUAAAUGAGUAUUUACCCAUUUUCAAGUUACUAUUUUUAUUUUUGAAAACCAUAAGUUUCUCCCAUUUUUGUUCAAAAAGUAAAAAGAAAACACGGUGGGUCGAUGAUUUUUUUUUUUUUUUGUCUUUCUUAACAAAAAUAAAAGGAUAAAUUGAGAUUUUUAAAAGUAAGGAUAAUUUGAAAAUAAUUAAUUCAUAAGAAAGAUAAUCCAAAAAUAAUUUUUCUCUAAUGUGAAUACCCUAUUUUUUUUACUGCCACAAAUAAAAUUAAUUUUAAGUAACCUAGGGAGAUCUUUGUCUUGAAAUGUUGAAAGGAUGUGACAAGUAAAAUUAAUGUUAGUAUUUAUAUUUUUUUCAAAAAAAAAAUAUUAGUAUUUAUAUUAUUACUAUUAUUAUUUUGACAGCAAUAUUUAUGUUAUUAUUAGUUGCAGACAGAGAGUUGCUUUGGUGGACCAUCCAAGAGAAAUAAAUAAUAUAUAUGUCUCUGUCAAAUUAUAUAUAUCCAGCAUUGUUAUUAAUUUUAGCAUGAAUCUAGUCUUCAAUAAAAUGCUUUAUUAAAUAAAUAUUGGGAGGUGGUGGGUGAUUAAAUUAUGGUUGCGAAUUGGGAGGUGUGGUGGGUGAUUGUCGUUUUGGACAUUAUUUGUGUGAUUGAAGGACUGUAAACCUACCAAGUUUAUCCAAAUUUCAUCUAAUUUUGAUCAAAUUUGUUUGUCUACAAUUGAUAAAAUAUAUAAUCAUAUUUGGUAGAUUUAUCAGCCUCUAAUAUUGGACAAUCCAUGAAAAAUGAGAGACUCAAAUGAGGUUUUUAACUUUAUGGGUUAUAUUGUCCUUUUCAAUUAGCCUGAUGCCAUUGUCAAUUUGAAGAUAAUUUCUUACCAAUUUAAAAGUUAGAUAGAUAGGAUCAUAGGAAUGCCGAGAAGAUUUAUGCAAAGUUAAUAAAUUAAAAAUAAUAAUUUGUUAGUGUAACAUAUUUUUUUUUAAUAGUGAAUUAGUAUAUAAUUACUUAGAAAAGUCUUGAAAAGAUAAAAACGUUUUCAAUUUCAUAAAAAUGAUUUAUUAAUUAUUUAACGUGAAUAGUCUCUUGAAUGUGUCUUGUUGAAAUUCAGUAAACAAUUCCGUGAAUUGUGUGAAUAAUCAGCCUUUUUUUUUCCCUCACAUUUUAUUAGUAUAAUCAGGAAUCUUGUUCCAUAUAAUAAUUAAUUAGGUAGUUUUUAACAUGAAAAAUAAAAUAAUCAUCAAAUCAUCUAAAAAUUUUCUUUCACAUCUAAAAAUUUUCUUUCACAUAUUUAUAUAUUUAAAAUAAAGAUCAACAAUUUAGUGCAUGCAGUCGUGCAUCAUCACCACUAGAGGUGGCUAAUGGGCCGGACGGCACGAGGCACGGCACGGGCACGGCACGUGUUCGUACAGCACGGUACGACACGAGCACAUUUCGGUAAAGAACGCGGCACGACACGGCAUGCACGUGGGCCGUGCCAGACUUAGAUUUUAGGCACGUGGGCCUUAAAAGCACGGCAUGAUUAGAGAUGAAACAAAGCACGGUACGCGAAAAAGCACGCAAUAAGCAUGUUUCAUUUUUUAAUGAAAGUAAACUUAAAAUUUUAUGAUUUUAUAAAUAACUUGAAAUUGAAUCUUUUAAUAUAUUUUAUUGGCUCAAGUUUUUUAAAUUUAUUUAAUUCUUAGUUUCAAAAAAUUUAUAAUUGAUUUAUGUUUAUAAUUUAUUAAAUAAGUAAUUGAUAUCAUGAUUUUAAUAAAUAAAAUUAUAAAUAUCAUGAUUUUAUAAAUAUGUAUUAAUAUUAUUAUAAACUAUGAUAUAUGACUUUACGUAAUUCCAAGUUAACAAUUAAGUUAACCCUUAAAAAAAUAUUAUUAUUGUUGUUGUUAAGUACUAAAAAAGAAUUCUAAUGCCAUAGAGUCAAACUUAGCAACUAAUAUUACAUUAUCUUUUUAUUAUUAUUGAAUAUGGACUUGAAUUUUAAAUUUUUUAUUCUAUUAAAUUUAAAUAAAGGCAUAUGGAUCCAAAAAAACAGUACAUAAGAUGGAAAAAAAUAAGACAACUUGACAUGCGCUCUUAAAAAAAAUAAAAAAGGAAAAAAGCUUAGUGGGCUAUUUUUCCUAAGCACGAAACGGCACGAGUGGGCAUGAACGCGAUCACGUGUGGGCACGGCACGACACGAGCACGAGCACGAGCACGCUUGGGCUUCCAUUGAUGGGCCUGAGCCGGCACGGCACGGCCCGUUGGCCAUCCCUAAUCACCACUCUUUAAAUUAAAUCAUUAUUCACAAGAGUUUUUUUUUUUUCCCCUUCAUUUACCAAAAUGUCAACCUUCAUCAUUUUGACAGGCGGCAUUUUUAAAUCUAUGCAGACAUAACUUUUAAUCCGAGUGUCAUAGAUGUAAUAAUUCUCUCAUAGAACAUUUUGUAUUGAGCCGAGGUCUGAAUAAUGACGUUAUCAAUUACCCAAUCAUUACGCUACCAUCAGGUGUAUUUAAGCCGUUGAUCUGAUCACUGGUUAUUGUGGCGCAAACAGAGGAAUUGAAGUCACAUUCGUAUUAUUAUUAUGAAUGGGGUAAUAUUCUGUAGUUUGUUCCUGUAUAUUCCCUCGGUUUUUACAAAUUGAUCAUGCGGAUGCAUAUAAUUCAAAAGACAAAUCUACUGGUUCAAAACAUUACUGAAUGAAAUUUUUUUUAAAAAAAAAAAUUAAAGUAUAAAUUCAAAACAUAAUUAACUUAUUUUUAAAUUUGGGAGAUUUGAUUCUAGUCUAAUAGAAUAAAAAACUAUCAACACAUUCUAUGAUACUUAAAUAUGGUUAAUCUAUUGAUUCAUAAUUUUGAGAUAAAUUGUUGUAAGAAGAUCAUGAAUUGCUUUUUUUUCCUAUCCCCGCCACUUGUUGUUGUUAGUACUUUCUAAAAAAAAAUUAAAUCGGUAAGAUUAUGCUUAUGUAUUUUAAAUACUCAAUUAAAAUAUUCAAUGAUGCGGUAUUUUUUUGUGUCAUCAAUUAAAUAAGUUGUAAAAAUAAUAAAAUAAUAAUUGAUAAUAACAUCAAUUAAUAUUAUACAUAUAUAUAAGAGUAAAUGAUUAGUGACAUAUUAGAUAAACACUAUAUGAAACUUGAACUUUAUGAAAAUAACAAUCUAUUAACUUGCUAUCGUUAAAAAUGCUAUUAUUCUUAGUCAAGGUUUGUUUUUCAUCAUAAUAACGAUACUAAUUAAACAAAAAUUCUAAGGACUUUUUUUUUAAAAAAAAUAUAUAUAUAUAACCAAGGAAAAGGGCAAAAGAAUAUGCAAUGAAGAUAAAAGAAUUCAAAGUAGCGUGACGUGUCGGCUUCAUAUUCAAUUUUGUGGGUCCCCUGAAAAUAAAUGUGUCUCUUGCGUUGUAAGAUGAAGAUGAACUGCCGAACCACCGUCGAUUUUAAUGCGAACCGUUUCACAUUUGAAAUUUGAUAUUCUAAACCCCGUCGUUGACUGUUUAUUCAUUUAUUUUUUAUUUUUGUUGCAUUUGCCUAUAAUAAACAAGCCAAAAAAAAAAAAAAAAAGGAUGAAGUUCAUGGACCUUGACCCUAUUCCGAUUUUAAAUUAUGGUCCCAAAAAGUAUAUAUAAAAAAAAGGAAAAAGAAUCCCAAAUUUAUUUUGUCAACGUGAGUGAGUGUGCUUAAUUUUCUUACACUUCUAGAUGCAUUUUUAUACCUCACAUCUCAUCUACAUUUAUGCAAAAUCAUAAAUAAAUAAUAAUCCUGCACACAUAUUUGUAGUGCCAUCUAAUUGAAAUGAUAAAAUUUAUUGUAUUAAAAUAAGAGGUGUAGAGUUUGAAUUUCGUUCAUAUAGACAGAAAGAGUAUCGAAUUUUCAUUAAAUAAAAAAAAUAAAAAAAUCCACACAUAUUCACCAACUAGCGAGUGAUAGAGAUAACAAUGAAUUGUACUUACUAGACAUAUUUUGAACUUUUUCUUUCAUUUUGUCCGUUAUCGCGAUUGGCUAUUUUAUUUUUUUAAUUUUUUCCCUAAAAAUGUAUUAGUACGUGGUGUUACCUUAGAUUAUUUGGUUGAUAUAUUGUUUACGGGUCAUUCUAUAAUGCCGUAACUAAAUUUACAACAUUGAUGCCGUAAUGGACAUGGACCGUUAGAUUUGAAUAAAAAAUCUCUACCAUUAAUUCUAAAUAAAUAGGUAACAUGUUACCUAAGUAGCAAGUAAUUACUCUUUUUUGUUCAAAUUUUAAGUUACAUUUACCAAUUUUAUGUGUGAUUUACAAGUUUUAUACAACAUUUACAAGUUAAUGUUGAUUUAUAAGUUUUAUGCAGCAGUUACAAGUUUUUGUUGUGUUUACAAGUUCUUCUUGUAUUUUACAACUCCAACAUUAAUUUACCAAAAUUUCCAUCAAUUUACUAGUUUUAUGUGUGGUUUACAAAUCUUUUGUGUCAUUUCACAAUUAAUGUCAAUUUACAAGUUUUAUAUCAUUUUUCUAAGUUUUUGUUUUGUUUACAAUUUUUUCUUCUAAUUUACAAUUUCAUCAUUAAUUUACUUCUUUUUUCAUUAAUUUACUAGUUUUAUAUGUGGUUUACACAUUGUUUGUUUCAUUUCACACACUUAAUGUCAAUUUACAAAUUUUAUGUCAUUUUUCUAAGUUUUUGUUUUGUUUACACUUUUUUCUUCUAAUUUACAACUCCAUCAUUAAUUUACCAAUUUUCCCAUCAAUUUACUAGUAUUAUGUGUGAUUUACAUAUUUUUUGUUUCAUUUUACUCUUAAUGUCAAUUUACAAGUUCUAUGUCAUUUUUCUAAGUUUUUGUUUUGUUUACAAAUUCAUAUUGCAAAUUACAACUCCAACAUUAAUUUACCCAUUUUCCCAUCAAUUUACUAGUUUUAUGUCAUUUCUUAUUUUUUAAAGUAAUUUCAUACGUGUUUAAUUACAUUGAUCUGAACUAAUCAAACGUAAGGAGGAGUUUACGGAAGAAGAAGGAAAGAAAAGGAAGAAGAAAUGGUCAAAGAAGAUGAUGAAAAGAAGAAAUGACGAAGAAGGUGCAGUAUAAAAGAAAUGAAAGAAAGAUUUUUAUAUUGUUUAUUUUUUAUGUCUUGAAGUUUGUUUAGGGAAUUGUUUUGUAGGAUGAAGAAAACGUGUACAAGAAAACGUGUAAAUCUUUUUUUUCUUUAAAUUUAUACAUGUAAAAUUUUUAUUUUUAAAAAUAGUAUUUAACCGGCUUGUAACCGAUUAAAUAUAAUUUAAUUAAUUUUUUAUUAUAUUAUAAUAAUUAUGAAUCGUUGAUCUAAUCUAAUGACCCAUAAUAAUUACGAUAUUGAUGCCGUGAUUUUAAUCACGGCAUCAUAGAAUUUUCCAUACAUCAGAAUUUUUGAAGCUGAUUAAAAAUGAGGAACAUUUUAAUAACUUACAAAGAAAAGUAAUUAAAAAAAAAACAAAAGUAAAAGGAUCGGGCCAGGCCCAAAAGACAACGGUGAUUCUCAUGUGCUGCUAAAGGAGAGUCAACCAUGGUCAAAGACGCAAGUGUGAAAAAAUGACACACUGUUACCAUGAGGACCGAGUUGACAUAUUUUGUAAACUAUUGAUAUAUUUUGAAAUAUUCUCCAAAGAACAGGGUCUGCAUUUUCCUAUUGGGCCAGGGGCCCAAGUUCGCAAAAUAUUCAUUUUGCGCACUAGUAAAGCCGUGCUACUGUGACAACCAAAAUUCUUGUGAAUCCCAAAGUUAAUUAAUUAAGAAGUGUGCUCUGUAUUUUUAAAUGUAAUUUUCUAUUCAGUUGAGGUUUUAGAGCGUAUUUGGAAAUUUAUUUGAGAAUCUAAUCUAAAAAAAUGUUUGAGUUGUCGAAUUAUCAUUUAUCAAAUAGUUUAUUUGAGUUGAUUUCCCCCCCCCCCCCCCCCCCAACAUAUUGGAUAUAAUAUGAGAGUAAAUUCUUAAAUAAUCACCUAUUCGUGGUCUUUAUAAGGUGUUAUUUAUUUAUUCACGAGUCUAUAAAACUAAUUUUAUGGGUUUAAUAGGGCCCCAAACCAAAAGUUUUUCCUUUUUUUUUUCUUAUUUUUAUUUACUCUUGAUCAACUUGCUCAAUAUAUAAAUUAUCCUGAUUCUACAUAAUUUUAUUAUUUAUUAUUGAUAAGGAGAUAACGUAAGUAAUUUAAUUUGGAUUUUUUUCCCUAACAGUACCAUUAAUUUGAAAAAUAAUGAUAUAGUUACAAAUUCUUUUACAAACUUAUUUUAUACAAAUUGAUUUAAUAUUAACUCAUUGAUUGAAUAAAAAUAUAAUAUAAUAAAAAUAAAUUAUGUAAAUCAAGAGAUAUUUAAUUUAAUCAAUUAAAUUAUGUCACAUCAGUUUAUAUAAAUAAAAUUUAUAUAAGAGUUUAUAGUUAUAUUAUUACUUUAAUUUGAAAAAAAAAAAGAAAAAAGAAAAAGGAAAUUACCAAAAUGGGGCUGCUCAAAUUUUAAAAGCAAAAUAUCGAAAUGGGAAACAAAAUCUUUUAAGAUUCGCCUUCGGCGACAUUUUGAGAUGGACUGAUAUGCAAACAUUAAUUUGCUAAAAACAGAGCAGCGGUGGUGUCUUCUCCAUGUAACUGCUGCAACUACUUCUCCAUCUUUCAUCUCUUUUCUUAAAAGUCUUAAAAAAAGUGUCUGAUCUCGUAAUCAUCCACAGAAAGAAACGUGUCGGCAAACAGCCGCUUAACGUGCGACACGUGUUCUUUUGUGAACAGAAAUGGAUUUUGCCAAAUGCAAAAGUGACAAACCACGGACAAGGACAACGAAAGGGACAAAUUACUUAUCAAUAUUUAUAUUUUAUUUUUGUUUCUUAAAAAAAUAUUUAAUUAAUAUAUUAUUUGAAUAAUUGAUUCCCCCCCAAUAAUUUCAUAUAAAAUUUGAUGUAUUAAGUGAUGAUUGGGAUAUAAUUUUAUUUAGAGGGGACAUACCGAAAGUAGGAUUAGGAUCAUCUUAUAAUGGGCUUUAGUCAUGAGCAAAAUUAGAAGAGCUCAUAUCACGUAAGGAUUCAAAGACUUUGUUUGGUAUGAUUUUUCAAAUAAAACUUAAUUAUGUAGGGUUUUUAUAAAUAAAAUUUUUACUUAAAAAAUUUUAGUUGUUUGGCUGUAAAUGAGAAUUUUUAUUAAAAAUUAUAAAAUUACUUUAAUAGACAAAUUUUUUAAGUUGCGUUAUAAAAAUAAUGAAAUAACAUUAUUAAAUAAGUAAAUGAUACUUUAUAUAUUUUAACAUUUAAAAAAAAUUUUAACCUCUACUCUCAAAGGUCAAAAUUAGAAUUUAUUCAGUAGAGGUAAAAUAAUUUAUUUAAUUUUUAAAAGUUCUACUAAAAAAAAAAAUUGAUAAAAACUUAUAAGAUUAAAUAAUCACUUAUGACCAUUAAAUAAGUCAUAUCAAAUAGAUACUAAUCUUUAAAUGUAACUAUUCCUUAUAUAGUUCGAGUAAGAACUUUUGAUUUUAUCUAAAAUCCGUUUUAUUAUUAUAUCUCAAGUUUGAAAGCAAAUCGUACUCUUAUACAAAAAAUGUGGCAAUAUAUUUUUAAAAAAAUUUUCAUUGCCAUUUUUUUGUAAAAUAAUAAAAUAUUCGAUUUUAAAUUGUCUUAAUUUUUAAUUCUCAUUGUUCGCCCAUCGCUUUAAACUUUAUUCGUUAAAAAUUAAAAUUUUGAGAAUAAACCAUAUUUUCCUACAAGUUUUUUCAAAUAUUACAUCACAAUUCAAUUGAUAAUAUAAUUAAAAGCUUUUCAAAACUUAUCUUUUAAGUCCCAUGACUCCGAAAUUAAAAGAAAUUUUACUCUAAAUAGUGCCUAUCUCCUGUCAUAUCUCUUCUUUGAAAAAAAAAAAACGAAAACAAAUAUAAAUAUUAAUAAAUCAAUUUUCACCUCAACCAAAAAAAAAUAAAAAUUUACAAAUAAUAAUUACUUAAAAAGAAAAAU